RNAcentral lists this long non-coding RNA (77503 nucleotides) under Triticum aestivum (bread wheat). RNAcentral describes it as "long non-coding RNA (TAES_LNC025862)". The record is from RNAcentral. Lineage: Eukaryota; Viridiplantae; Streptophyta; Magnoliopsida; Poales; Poaceae.
AUCAUUCAAGAAGUUCAUAUACAUUGUACGACUGAAUCUGAAAAAGAAGACACCAUUUGACUUGCUAUGAACAAAGUAUAAUGAUUCAAACUGCAAAUUACUAAUAGACUAUCUAUAGGUUAUUAUGAGAUUUCUUAUGGUCAACUUAAUCUGAUGGACAUGAGAUAAACUCUUGUGAGAAAACUAAGGAAAUCUGAUUCGUAGGACGAGUUUUUCUCUUUCUUUUACCAUGGUUCUAAUGGAGCUGUGGUAAGCCAGCAAGGUGUGACAUUUCUUAUGGCCACCUCUCGCAAAUGCUAACGUGCCAGCUUGCCACCACUUUUUGUGUGAAAUGAAACGAUUGGCUCUCACUCUUAUCACCCAUAUGUCAUAUUUUCAGGCUUGAUGUUAAAGAACGGUGGGAGAGGAAAGCGAACAUGUGAAUUUCUGAAGAUCGUUUAAAUUCUCGGAGCAAAGCAAACCCUCCAUGUAAAUGGGAAAAAAAAUCUUUAUGCCUUCUUGAUGACCUAGUUGAAUGUAUUCAUCUUUCUGUUAGCGGGCAGAAUAGCUGGGCGAAAGCCACAAGAUCUAGGCCACAAAUUUCCUGGUUUGCAGUUUUCUAUCUGAUGCCUUGUGCAGGUUAUGUAGCUAGAUAUUCCUAUUUUAAGUACCUGUCCAGAUCUCUUGUUGGGUACUUCAGGCCCACGCCGCGCAGGUUAUAGAACAUCCUGCUUAGCGAGACAGGGAAGGUAUUGAAAAUCCUGUUUCAAAUGUUGUGUACGAUUAUGACAUGCUGCUGUUGCUGCUUUUACAGCAAAUUAUAAGUUUGUCCCGGUUUAUUUUACCUCCCUGAGCCCUUGUGGGCCACUUGCAUGAUGGCUUAGCUAUUCUUCUGUUCUUACUAUGAUCUCCCUGAAGCGUCCAGAUCAGAACUGAAAGUUAUCUUGAACCUCUGUACAUCCAGAGAACUAGGAUGGGAUUAAAAAAGCAAAGUAAGGGAAGAGUUGAGAUUCACUCACAUAUUGCUGAUGCCAAGAUUGAAGAGGCCGACAUACCUAAUCUGAACGCUGAAAUAUACCAUGGCAGACAAACAUCUGUUGAUAAUCUUGUGACGUGAUCUCCUGUUAUCCUGCCUUCAGAUGAUGUUAUUUUAAGCCAGAAUCCUCUGCAUGACUAGAACGGAGUAGCUAAGAGAGAGAACACACAGCCCAGUUAAUUGGGGGCAGUUAGGGUGGUUCGCAAUCUUAGGGCCUCUUUGAUUCAUAGGAUUUUGAAAACAUAGGAAUAGGACAAGUGUAGGGUUGGAGUGGCAUGCCCAUUUGAAUCCUAUAGAAUUAGCAAUGAUUGUUUGAUGCCACAGGAAAAACAAAGAAAUUGUAGAAAGAGGUUGGAGUGGAUGUUAAUUUUCCUAUGAAACGUAGUAUAGAAGAUUCCAUAGAAAAAAUUCCUAUGGGACCUAAUCAUAUGAAUCAAAGGACCAACAUAGGAAAAAAUCCUAAGGAUUUCAAUUCUCCAGAAAUUUUAUAAAAUUCUUUUGAAUCAAAGAAGCCCUUAUCAUGCGAAGUGCCAUGGAGGUAGGUACUGGAAUGGUUGUGAAUCAGUCAGUGAUGGUGGUGUUCGUCUCACGGAGACGGGAGAGGCUGCCAUAACUGUCAGCUCAAGUGAAAUGCUUGCUGCCUACUGAAAGAAAUCCGACGAAUGUCUUGAUCAACUUCGUCCACCUCGGCCCUCUCACAUGCCUCUUGAGAGCGCUUCGUGUCAGGACUCCUUUAGUUCGAACUACUGACUGGCUCUGUACAGAUGGUGAGAUCAUGCACCACACACAUGAAGUUUAAUUCAGUCGUUCGCACGGAUCAGCGGCACGCAUGUGUUGCGCACUGAACUCUCUAUGUAUCUCUCGAUUCAGAAACAGAACAGUGUAGAACUCUCUCAAUUACAGUAUGGAGUAAGCAACUAGCCCACCAUACUUAGAAGAAAACCAAAAUCACACCCCUAAAUUACGUACAACCAUGGAACGUAUGGUAUGGUUCUCAUGCAAGGGUGCAAUUAUGUCAACUGGUAUAAAAUGGUCACCAGAUGUCCAGAUCUAAUAUGUGGUUAUGCUUUACUUCGUUCAUGUGGAGUCCACCUGAACCCGUGGCUCCAAUUCAAUAGGAAAUAAUCGCAUGUCCACAACUUGACGUGCCACGAUUAAUAAUAAAUGAACAUUCUAGUCGCGAUUUCGCACUCCAUAUGCCACUUGUCUGCUGGGCCUGAGGACAUGUUAACAAUAUCCGAUUGUUUCCUUUGUUCCACUCUCUUUCGUUAGCAGAUUUUUUCCCCCCGAAAAAGGAGGACUACUCCUUGCCUCUGCAUCAAACAAAGCACAUAACCAUUCUUUCGUUAGCAGAUACGCAUGACUACGGUAGAUCGAAGUGUGAGGAUGGCAUGAUUGCAUCAUUUUAUAAUUCGACUAUGUUACAAGCAUUUGUUGCAAUUAAAUAAACAAAUACUCCCUCCGCCACGGUUUAGAAGGCACAGUUAAAUUUGCGUGUGUUUCCAUAAUAAACAAGGUUUAGGGCGCACUGCAUUUAUUUCUAGUAGCUAAUUAGUACUCCAUAUACUAUUUUUAUAUGCAUGCGUAGUGUGAAUGCUAUUUUUUAAUCCAUCUCACAACCAAUAGAUAACUACCUAGAUCCCAGAGAAUUUCCCCUUCUAAACCGUGACGGAGAAAGUAUAUAACUUACAACAAUUGAUUAUCGUGGGAUAACCUGCAUUGAAUGUGUGUGCAUGUGUGCACAACAAUGGUGCCUCGCAGGUAUCAACGAUGGAUGCAUCUGGGUUAGGUAAAACGAAGAGUGACUAUACUAAAAUAUGUAUGUAUACAUCUUUUUUUGCAGGGGAUACGUACAAAAAAAUCAAAACAUCUUAUAAUUCAUAAUGAAGGGAGGUCGAAGAUAAAAAAACAAAUGCAUCGCUAGACUAGAGUCCUGAAGUGGAUGGACUGUAUAUUACUCCUUCCGUUUCUUUUUACUUCGCAUAUAAAAUUUGGUCAAAAUCAAAUUACACAAAGUUUGACUAAAUUUAUAUAAAAAUAUAUGAACAUCUACAAUACUAGAACUAUAUAAUAUGAAAAUACGUUUCAUGGUGCAUCUAACAAUAUUGAUUUCAUAUUAUGAAUGUUUAUAUUUUUUAAUAUAAAGUUAGUCAAACUCUAUAAAGCUUGACUUUGACUAAGAGCCUGUUUGGGACUACUAUGCUCCUUAAAAUUCAGCUCCGCUCCAGAAAACACAAACCAAACCGGAUAGCUCCACGAUAUGCCGCUCCGUAAAAAAACUAGAAUCUAGGGUACAACUCCCAGUUUUUUAUGAAGCUCUUCAGGAGGUGCUCCAAAAAACUCUAGAAGCUGAAGUUGGGUGGAAAUUACCCACCACUGCCACCAGUAAGUGGAUACCCCUUCGUUUCUUCCCCCUCAACCAAUCAAAUAGAUCUUUACCACCAAAUUUCUUAUUCUUGAAGCUGAAACUAGAUGGCAGCCAAACAUUCUCUUUCGUAGUACUACAACUUCUAGAUGGAACUGCUCCAAAGUGAAUUUAGUGAAGCGAAACUGGUUUUUGUGAAGUGGAGCAGUCGCAAACAGGCCCUAAAUCUUACUCCCUCCGUUCCAAAAUAUAGUGCGCCCGCGCUUCCCGAGGUUCAACUUUGACCAUAAAUUUAACCAACGAGGCCAACUGCGGCGGGAGAAAAAAUUAUAUAAUUGAAACUUCUUUCAAAUACGAAUUCGCUGAUAUAAUUUUUGCUUCCGUCGCAAUCGGUCUUGGUAGUUAAAUUUACGGUUAAAAUUAAAACACGGGGAUAGAGGAAGCACUACGUUGUGAAAUGGAGGGAGUAUAUGCGGACUAAAAAGAAACCGAGGAGUAUUAACUCGAAUCGAAAACAAAAAGGAAGUGCACAAAACCGUAUGCUCUGUUCGGUCAUCUCCGACGGGUCGCAGUCUCGCUAGGGCUAGCGGUUGUUGGAACAACUGACCUGCUCCCUCUGCAUGCUCCCAUCCAUGCUCCCACUUCAUCUUAUGGCUGUUCUUUUCUCUUUCUCUUUUCUAAUCUAAUCAUUUCUCCCCCCCCCCCCUGAUUUUCAAGGGGUGGGACCGGACCUUAUUUUUUUCCAAUCAAAUCAAGCCACGUAUGCAGAAAGCAUGAAUGGGAGCAUCGGAAGCGAGCAGGCAAGACUCGUCCACAGUUUACUGGAUCGGUCGCAAUCACAGAUCACAACGGGUCCACUACUUGUCUGGUAGUAGGGGCGUAGGGCGAGACUGGCUGGCGGGCCCGGGGUCGCGUGGUCUGCCGCAGCCGGGCUACGCGCCGGCUCGUGCCGGGACCGUACUGCCACGCGCCCGCCCGCUCCACGCCUCCUCGCAGCUCCCGUUUCCUUGGGCGAAAACAAUAUGGCCACGGACAGGCACAGGUUGUACACGCAAUUUUUGCCUUGAGCAUGCUGAGGUGGACCGGCGAUUUGCCGUACAUCCAGGCGGCCGGCUACCGAGUUUUUUUUUCCUUUUGGCCGGCCACCGAGUUGACUAAAUGCAAAGAGGGAGUAAGGUACGGUGGUCCUCCAAGUACAAACUUACUUAAGCCGGUAGUAAUACUAUAAAUAGAGAUAAUGAAAACUAUAAAUUACAUAAAAUACAAUAUAGGAGUAUUGCAAGUUUGACAUUUUGAAACCUAACCCACUCCAUCGAUCAAAGUGGGUUUAAUGAAAGCGCACAUUAAGGAAAGAUGGUUAUCUUCUUCCACACAUUUUAGGUUUCAAAGUUGAGCACUAGCCAGCGGCAUGUACACUAGUUGAUAAAGGCGGCCUCCUCACAUAUAUUUCACGUUAUCUAGGGAUAAAAAACAUGUUAUAUUCCCACAAACGACAUGAUAAUACAAUGGGUUAUCUCUAGCGCUAAAUGUUUGCCUGAUCCUGAAAUUAUCAGGUGAUUAAAACUAAUUAAAAAAAAUAGAGAGAAGACAUCUCGUACAAUGGGUAGAAUGUCUCUUUUUCUUUAACUAAGAUAUUAGCUCUUCGGUAAGAGAACACAAUUUAUCUUUUUUCCCGUUUCUCUCUAUUCCAUCACCAUGUAUAUUGUGUGUCAUUGCUAAGAUAGCAUCGUGUACACUCACUAAGAAAUCAAUAUGAUAGAACACCACCAUAUAGCCUUGUUUCAAAAUAAUGUUGAGCAUGUAAUUAGCAGAAAAGAACUGACACAUUCACAAAGUGUUACAACAACAGAUGCCAAAUGUAAUAAUAUUCAAGGAUGUAUCCUAAUAAAAAGCAGCAUGAUACAUGCUCAACCUGACAAGCUACUAGGGCAAAACUUAUUGGGUGUGUGAAUUUGUGUACGAGCUGUUGAUGUACCUAGAUACAAUUUUUUUUUUACAAAAUCUAAUAUAUCGAUACCAAGAUGAUACCAAUUACACCGGCUUUUGCAACAACACUAUAUAGUACCUGGUCAAUACACUGGAGCCGAUGCAAGCAAUGACACGCAACAAGCAAACAUGAAUCCUUGUAUCAUCAUCACAAGGACAACAUAAAAUGUUUUAUUUCUCUUGCCAUGGAGUGGUAGUGCUCUUUGUGUUUGUCAGCUAGCUAUAACCCACAUGAAUCACCAUGAUGUGGACAUUCCUGAUUAACGCCUCCAUUACCCACAUACGCGAGAAGGAAAACAAUUGGUUAUCAACUUCCACAUGACUUGACAACUUUGAUUAAUAUGUUCGAGCAUAUUAGUCAUGACCUUACACUUGAGACAUUUUUUAGUAAUCCAAAGGGUCGCAUGUGAGUAGGCAUUUUUUUGGAUUUUGUUGGUCCUAAGUUGCCUUGGAGUUUUCUAUGUUUGAUUCGAUUUCUUAAAAGUGCAACUUCGGUUUAGCAAAUGCAACUCCAUUGAGCUACGCACAGAUAGCCCCCCUUUUGCCUUUAAAAGCCGAAAUGAGAUAAAAUUGCCGCUUGCGCCUAAGGCCGAUAGCUAGUAGAGAGAAAUUUGCACGGUAAAUCAUCGGUUAAAUGUAUAGUUCUUCCGCUAGCAUAUAUUCCCUCCGUCCGGAAUUAACUGUCGCUGAAAUGAGUGAAUCUACACACUGAAACACAUCUAAAUACAAUUAUUUCAGCAACAGUUAAUUUCAGGACGGAGGUAGUACUAAUUAGGCCACAUGCGAGAUGCUUAUAAAAGUAAUUUGGUUUUUAUUUGAGCAUUAGUGCUCAUUGGUAGGACAUAAACGCUUAAUUGCUAGUGUAUCAUGUAAAAUACCUACCUUGUGUUUGUGUGUUGAGCAUUAGCUGCUCAAUGAUUGUAAUCACGAUGUUGAGUAAUUAAUUACAAAGCUUUCUCCUUCUGUGAAAAAAAGGUAUGUGCUCCCUUCGUCCGGGCUUAUCGAGCGUCUCUGUAUCACAUGGCACAUAUGGUAAGCAAUCAAAACUAUUUAUGAGCAAACAAAAAGAUGGUCAUAAAUUUAACUAAUAAUAUAUAAAAUACAUGUCACAAAAAAUAUACCAUGUGAAUCCUCUUUUGAAUACCAAUCCUUAAGCGUAUGCUUUACUACUACCAUAUAUGCAUUAUAUUUUAUUAUUUAAUACAGAUGAUCAAACAUCAACCUAAAAUACGAAGGGGGCUGAUAAACCCGGACGGAUAAAGUAACAACUAACCAUAUCUCUUCCGAUCUACUAGAUCGAAGAAAAAAAGUACUACACUAACAAGAUAGGACCGCAGGAGUGGAAGAUAGAAAGAAAAGAUAAUGUUAUCUGCGUAGCCAUGCAUAUAAUGGAUUGGUUGACGGCGAUAUCACUUCGUUUUGACCAGAGACCAGCAUUUUGCCUCCCACCACCCUGCACAUGUCCGACACAAGGAUCGAUCCAGAGACACACUCAGAUCCUACUAGCCUCUGUCGCGCCAGAGUGCUAGCUAGAUUGGCACGCUGAUCAUCUCUAGAACGAAGAGUGGACCUCGUCGUGUUGCUCACUCACGUAAGCUUACCGACUGUACUCGGCAUGCAUGCUUCACAUACCCAAUUCAGUGCCUUUUCAAUUAGCAAGAUGCAUGCCGUAUCAAAUUUGGCUUGUCUAUUGGAAGAGGCAGACGUGGCUUGUUAAAGCGCGCGUGUAUCAAUCAAACUAGUCUAAUCCCCCCGGAAUCACACACGAUGGCAAGCAACACCACACCACCCACGGAAACCAUCCAAGAUGCCCACCGAAAUUCAAACCAGCGUGCUCUUUCUCAGGCUCCCCACGCGCGCGCGUGCAACGCAUUGCUCUGUAUAGAGCGAAAGCGGCGAGGCUUCGGCGCGCCCGUUCUCCGGCCCAAUAAACUACUCCACGACCGCGCAAACUCGGGCUAGAUUUUGAUGGCGCACGCCGCAGCAACCACUGAUCUGAAACCUGAUCUUUAUCAGGCCAAUUCCACCGCGCGACCCCAUUUUGUCCGGCCCUGUUUGUUUGGAGUAAAAUAAACAAAUAAGGCGGCCCAGCGCGCGACGGUCCGAACUCAUCUGAUCCGUUUUGUGUCCGGACCGACUCAUUUCGAGCACAAAUUUGCGCCGGGUUUAGGUCGUGGCGGACAGCGAACGAACGCUUCGAACGUCCGCGUCGGGGCCGCAUGGCAGGCGGCCACCGACCUCCCACCCGCCAACAUAAAUGCGCACGGGCGGGUGGCUCCACCUGUCAUCCGCACUGCGAAGGGUCGUCGUCCUUCUUAAAUGGGAAGCCGUGGACCGGUCGUCGUCCACCGUUCCCACUCCGCCCCCCCCCCCUCCCCGAAACCCUACAUCCUCGAAACCCUACAUCCUCGAAACCCUAGCCGCUCCCCGUCGUUGACCUCGCCGGUCGGCCGCAGCCAUGGGCCUUUGGAAGCACAACCGCAAGGGGAAGCACGACCGCGAGGCCGGCUCCUCCUCAGGACGCCGCCGCGGCUCCGUCAAGAAGGAGGAGCCCGCAUCACCGCCGCGCUCCUCCAUUCGAGCCCCCGCGUCUGCCCCCUUCACUAUCGCGCCCAGGGCCGUCGGCGAGCGCGACAGGCGGUACCUGGUCGUCGAUGUGUGUUGGCGGUAUUGGGAGACGAGGACGCCGGUCCCGUGGAGCGACGUGCACCUCCCCAACAACUGGCACCUCUUCGCGGACCGGGUCCCCGUCCCGGCGGUGCCAGCAAGUGGUCGUGCCAGACGCGAUGAGAUCGAGCGCCGCCGCCGCCUCCUCCCCGACGACCUAUUCCACGACGAGAGGUACGCCCCCGACUCUGUCCUGUGGGACACUUGGCUCCAGGACGAGCACGACGUGCGACGUGCGUCGUACUUCGCCGGCACGGUGUCGGGGCCGCGGCGGCCACGUCGGGAGGUGCGCGACCUGACGCCCACGCCGUCGCCUUUCCCAUCGCCACCUCCACCUCCUCGCAUGACAGCGGAGGAGGAGGCUCGAAUCAUGGCGCGUGUCAUGGACGACUCCACGUACACGCACAGUGAGCGCCAAUGGCCGGGCCUCGAGGAGACGAUGGCCCUCUCUGCGGCCGGCGACGUCGCCAUCCCCGAGCCGAAGGAGGAGGUGACGGAGGAGCCGCCGGUGGCCGCCUUCCACCCGGUCCUGGUGGGCCAGGGGUGGACCUAGUCGUGCACGGCGGAGCAGAUGGCGGCUGCCUGGGGGGCAACUGGUGCCCCACGCCGCGGCGGUCGCCGGAUCGCGACGCCUCGCCUCGGGAGGAGGUGGUGCAGGCACCGGCCACCUUCCAGCCCGCCGCCCCCGUGCACCGCGGACCACCGACCCAUCUCUGGACGUCGCCGGACUACGUCGACCUCUGCAGCGACGACGACGAUACCGGCGGCCACUUAAGACGGCGACGGCGACGACCAGGGCAUGGACGGGCGCGGCAGCGGCGCGCGGGUGGCUUUUUUUUAUUUUGUUUUUAUGUUAAUUAUGAAACUGGGUCGUUUAAGUGCGGCGUGAAAUUGGGCCGUUUUGUGGCCGUGACCUUUAUAUAUAUAUAUUAAGUUUUUUAAGUGCGUUUAUUUACUUUUUAGGCAUUUUAUUUAUGUUUUUUGUUUUUUUAAUCACGUUCAUCCCGGACAUGAUUUGGAAUGCGGUCGUGCGCUGGUCACACCCACGACCCAACGAACAAACGCGGACAUGGGCGACCGCAUCGCCGCCUCAAAGAAACAAAAUCUGACCAAACCGAACGUCCGUUUAGGAUCGCACGGUGGAGUUGGCCUCACAUACUCUCUCCUUGCAUUCCGGUGUCGACGGGAAUGCGCGCAUCACUCUCCCCGCACGCCGCAGCAACCACCCCCGGGACUGUUGCUAUAGCCCAAAGCGCCUUUUCUUUUCAGGUGGAAGAAGCAACCGCAUUCCACUCCUUUUCCCUGGCUAUAGCUUUUCCUUCCUGGCAGCUGCACACAUAUGGUGGCCUUGCUUUCUUUUCCGCCAAGUGUCCAUGCCAAAAAUGACCGGUGAAGUUAACGAUAAGGCUGUAGUUGUAGAGGAGGAGGUUCGCGAUAAGGUUAACUAGAGUUGGACUGAGAGGGACAUGGAGAAAUUGGAUUGCCUUUUGUGUUCUGGUAUGCAGUUCUGAUUUGUGCAUUCAUCCGGCCCCUGCUAAUCUACCACGCAAUCUUAAUAUAACGGCCUGGCGAAUUCAUUCCUUCAUCUCUCCCUGCGUUAUUUUCUUGAAAUGCUUGCCGAGAGGCAUGGGCAGGAGCUCUGGCAUUUCAUAUUAGAAGAAAACAGUUGUCGAGUUUUAAUGUGAGAAAACUGAGCCGCCCGGUGGAGAGGCCACGGGUAAACCUUCUUUUCAAAGGAAAAAAAACCAGUUAAACCAAAUAAUAUACUGAGUAAAUGCGUAGGUGCAAUGCACAUCGAUAUUAGAGAGAAAAUUAAUUACACAUUGAUAGAUAGGAUAUCAACUACGCAUUAAUUACAUGUAUAGUGUAGAUAUUUACAUUUGAUACGAUGUUAAUUGCACGCUACCACUGAACCAAUAUAGGUUGUUCGAUCGACAUGAUUAGAUGGCCAAGAUUUAUUGGAUCUGCCUUUUUGGGUAUUUUUAUAGUAUUGCUAUAGAUAGUGAUUCUUUUGUGGCAUAGAUAGUGAUAUAUUAGUAUGACACAAAUAUUACUCACUCCGUCCCAUAAUAUAAAAACGUUAUUAUUCAGUCAAAUAGACUCAAAAAAAAAGUGUGCGGGACUUGUAAUAAACACAAAAGGAGGUAUUAACUACGGCGGCCGCUCGCGGUCGACCAAGCAGGCGUGAUCCGGGCAGCGCGGGUCACGCGUUUAAAUUGUCUGCUGGGCCACGAGGGACUGGCGGCGGCUGAGCGUUGUGUGGGCGGGCCUGAGUGUGGGCCGUCGGCCCAGUGUGAGCUAUCCGAGGAUGGGCCGGGACUAGCUAGGUUUGUGGCCCAGGCAAAAACGGUGCCUAUUCCUCGCGACAUAGAACCUGCAUGCACGAGCAAGACCCUGCGUCGUGUUCCUCGGCCGCCGCCUAGGGUUCAUCGUUGCGCUGUCCCAGGCUUCCCCUCGUGCAUGAUGGGACGAGCGGUGCGCAUCCCCCCCUUGCGGCGUGCAUGGCGGGUCGCGGUGGGGCUCGGCCGCCGGGGCCUAAGCCGGUGGUGCCAGGGGCGGUGGCUGCGACGCCUGGGCCGCCGAUCCAGCAACAACAACAGCAACCCCCUCCUCGUUCGGGGACCUCGACCCAGCAGCUCCGAGCGGGAGGAGCUCCGCCGGCGCCAGCUCCUGCGCGAGCUCCGCCACCCGACGUGGUUGCGCAGCCGCAUGCAACCCGGAUGGAGCCGGUGCACGGGGCUGCCGGGGGGCACUAGCCUGUCGCGGAUCAUCAUGGAUCGCCGACGCGCCGUGGUGGCGGUGGUGGUGGCUCGGGGCAUCGUUUUCCAGCUUUUCGUAGCAGAGCCUUCGAUGAUGGCGGACAUCACCAAGGUCAAUGGGGGGACGACGGCUAUGAUGCGUACGGUGAAGGUCAACAUCGCGGCUCAUCCUCCUCGGGGCGGAGGGCGUGGUUAUGCCUGGCAGAGCGAUGGGACGGCAGAGCGUCUAUUUCUCGGCCCUCCGAGAGGUUUUGUUGAGGGGGCAUCCGGCCCGGACUACAGACAAAGAGCUGGUUUUAGAGGAACUCGGAACGGCCGCGAUGGCAAGAAUCGUUACCGUCUGCCACUACCAUCACCGACGUCGCUGAGCCGACGGUGUCUUCGGAGGUGGUUGGUCAGCAGACGCCCGCUUUGUCUGGCUAGGUCAUGGCUAUGGUGUCAGCUUUGGCUACUGCGGCGGAGCCCACGAACGAGACGGCAGUUGUAGGCUCUGUUGGAGCGCUUGACAGGCCGGGUGGUGAGAAAGUUAGCAAAUGGGCCCGCAAGAAAGAGGAAAUGCUUUGCUAUCGCUGUGGUGAACAGGGACACUUCAUUGCUGAAUGUACUGCUGAGCUUUGUGAUACUUGUUCCAAACGAGUGCAUGCUUCGGGAGAGUGCCCGCUUUUGCGUGAGCCCAUGCCGGGUGUUACGAUCUAUGAUGUGUGUUGCAUGGAGUUGAUGUUUUUCGGGUCUCCUAGUGCUACGGAGAUACCUGAUGUGCCUCAGAGUGCAACCACAAGGGUGGUGAAAGUUACCAAGGGUGACUUGACCGAUGCACAAAUCUUACACAGGCUGAAUGAGUUGGCACCAGGUAACCAUUAGUGGGAACUUAUCAGACUCGAGGAUAAUAUGUACAAGGUGGACUUUCCCUCGACUGAGGAUUUGGAGCGACUCUUGAGUUUCGGGUUGUGCAGAGUUCCAGGCACUGAGUGCAUCCUCGAGUUUCAUGAGUGGAAAAAGGUUGAGCCCAAAGAUAAACCACUCACUCAGGUUUGGCUUCGUUUCUCGGGGGCACCGUCCAAGCCACUGAAUGAUGUUCGAAUUGCGGCUAGCUUGGGGACGUUGGUUGAAAAAACCGAGAGGGUGGAUAUGGCCUUUACCUGUGCUCAUGGGGUGGCCAGAUUGCUUGUUAGCAUCCUCGAUAUUGAGUACGUGCCAGAUGUCAUUAAGUGGACCCAUAGAGGCAUGAUUUAUAACCUCGAGAUUGAGUUCGAGGACACCGAGCUUUUCUCAAAGGCUUUGGCAGCGAAUGAUGUUGACAAUGUUGACAUGCUGGAUAAGGAUGAUGGCUCGGGUAACAAGGAGGUGCGACAGGAUGACUGUGGACACGAUGCGUCUAACAUCCAGGGAUCUGACGUGACGGCACCCGGGAAAGGGACUUUACCAUCCACAACUGCACCCAUGAGCACCUUGAGAUUUGGUUAGUUCGAGCCUGCAUCCGCUCCUCCGAGAUUGUGGAGUGAUCGGGUGGAGCGUGAUGAUGUGUUUGAGCGAUCGCUUCCUACAUUGGAUUUUGUUGAUGCUAAUGCUCUUGUGGAUAGAGUUUGUUGUCGUGUUACCCUUGGUGGAGACUGUACCGACAACACCAGUAGCGUCUGACCUGGGAGGUGCUUCUCCGCGGGCGAGGAGCCCGGUCAGGACCGUUGCCGAGGAGGCCAUGCCACGGGCCAGCGGGGCGGUCAGACUGGGUGGGGGCGAGGGCAAGAGGCCUCCGCCCCUGACUCUCCCUUGGCGGCCAGACAGGGUGCGGGGCGCGGGCAGGAGGCCUCCACCCCUGCAUCUCCUUCGUCGUGCUCGGCUUCGGCGGCAUGACCGGAAGGGGGACAUGGGCAGGAGGUCUUCGUCCCCACUUCUCCCUUGGCGGCAUCUGUUUCACCCCGAGUGGCGUGUCUGGUGGUGACAUCGCCUCACUCAGCCGGGGGGACCAGGUCGGGAGGGGGGCGUGGGCAGGCGGCCUUCACCCCUUCCUCUCCCUUGGCGCUGACGGUUGGUGUGGUUCCGGUGGCGUCUUUGGGGUCCGGCCACCGGCCGAUGCUGCGGGGGGCUUCCAUGGCUCUAGGAGGUUGUUCGGCUGUUCUAGUUCAAUCGAUCUCUGUUGGGGGUUGGGCAGGAGGCCCCACCUCAAACGGACCCAUGCAAGAGGAGAUCAUUGCGUUUGGAGGGAUCCCAGAUCAUGUUUCUGAAGGAUGACAGAUGAGCAGUCGUCUUCAGGAGCAGCCGGAUGUUGAUGACAUGCAGCUGAGGUGCGCUAUGCGGGCGGCCAAGCUUCGUGACGUUGCGGUCACUACUGGUAUGUCAGUCAAUACGUCUAAUUCAAUUUUGCAUUUUUUCAAUGAUGAGAUUGUUCACAAUGCAAAUCAAUUAGGGGUCUCACUAGGUAGUAAUGGUAAUGAAAUCACUAGAUCAGUUAAUGAUAUCCUCGAUCUAGAAGUGGAGUGCGCUUUGGAAAUGAUUCGUAAUCUAGCUGUUGUUAAACCCAUGAAUGAUUCCGACAUAGACGCGUUGGGAUUCAGGGUUCUUGAUAGUUUUUGUGCGGAUCUUGCUCCUACACUUCCUGAGAUAGAGGAAGAUGAGGAUGUUGGAAAUAUGCCCUAGAGGCAAUAAUAAAAUGGUUAUUAUUAUAUUUCUUUGUUCAUGAUAAUUGUCUAUUGUUCAUGCUAUAAUUGUGUUAUCCGGAAAUCGUAAUACAUGUGUGAAUACAUAGACCACAACACGUCCCUAGUGAGCCUCUAGUUGACUAGCUCGUUGAUCAAAAGAUAGUCAUGGUUUCCUGACUAUGGACAUUGGAUGUCAUUGAUAACGGGAUCACAUCAUUAGGAGAAUGAUGUGAUGUACAAGACCCAAUCCUAAGCUUAGCUCAAAGAUCGUGUAGUUCGUUUGCUGUAGCUUUUCUGAAUGUUAAGUAUCAUUUCCUUAGACCAUGAGAUUGUGCAACUCCCGGAUACAGUAGGAGUGCUUUGGGUGUGCCAAACGUCACAACGCAACCGGGUGACUAUAAAGGUACAUUACAGGUAUCUCCGAAAGUGUCUGUUGGGUUGGCACGUUUCGAGACUGGGAUUUGUCACUCCGUAUGACGGAGAGGUAUCUCUGGGCCCACUCGGUAAUGCAUCAUCAUAAUGAGCUCAAUGUGAGCAAGUGGUUGAUCACGGGAUCAUGCAUUACGGUACGAGUAAAGUGACUUGCCGGUAACGAGACUGAACAAGGUAUUGGGAUACCGACGAUCGAGUCUCGGGCAAGUAACGUACCGAUUGACAAAGGGAAUUGUAUACGGAUUGAUUGAAUCCUCGACAUUGUGGUUCAUCCGAUGAGAUCAUCGUGGAGCAUGUGGGAGCCAACAUGGGUAUCCAGAUCCCGCUGUUGGUUAUUGACCGGAGAGGCUUCUUGGUCAUGUCUGCAUGUCUCCCGAACCCGUAGGGUCUACACACUUAAGGUUCAGUGACGCUAGGGUUGUAGAGAUAUUAGCACACGGUAACACGAAAGUUGUUCGGAGUCUCGGAUGAGAUCCCGGACGUCACGAGGAGUUCCGGAAUGGUCCGGAGGUAAAGAUUUAUAUAUAGGAAGUCCAGUUUCGGCCAUCGGGAAGGUUUCGGGGGUCACCGGUAUUGUACCGGGACCACCGAAAGGGUCCCGGGGGUCCACCGGGUGGGGCCACCUAUCUUGGAGGGCCCCAUGGGCUGAAGUGGGAGGGGAACCAACCCCUAGUGGGCUGGUGCGCCCCCCUUGGGCCUCCCCCUGCGCCUAGGGUCAGAAACCCUAGGGGUGGGGGCGCCACCCUUGCCUUGGGGGGCAAGGCACCCCCUUGGCCACCGCCCCCCUAGGAGAUUGGAUCUCCUAGGGCCGCCCCCCUAGGCACCCUAUAUAUAGUGGGGGGGGAGGGAGGGCUGCGCACCCAAGCCCCUGGCCUCUCCCUCUCCCUCUCGUGACACUCCUCCGUCUCCCAACGCUUGGCGAAGCUCUGCCGAGAUUACCAUUGCUUCCACCACCACGCCGUCAUGCUGCUGGAUCUUCAUCAACCUCUCCUUCCCCCUUGCUGGAUCAAGUUGGAGGAGACGUUUUCCCAACCGUACGUGUGUUGAACGCAGAGGUGCUCUCCGUUCGGCACUUGGUCAUCGGUGAUUUGAAUCACGUCGAGUACGACUCCAUCAACCCCGUUCUCUUGAACGCUUCCGCUCGUGAUCUACAAGGGUAUGUAGAUGCACUCCUCUUUCCCUCGUUGCUAGAUGACUCCAUAGAUUGAUCUUGGUGAUGCGUAGAAAAUUUUAAAAUUCUGCUACGUUCCCCAACAGAGGAUUUCAGUUCCCCUAGGGGCUCGAUCCAUGUUGAUGUUCUAGGGGUUAGGUCCACGGAGGCCGGUUGUGAGGAUCGGCCGACAGACCAAAAUAAGCCUAAGCGGAAGUGGAAACAGAAGGUUUAUCUAGUUUCAGCAGUACAUAGAAGUGCUAGGAUCCGUACCUCUAAAAAAAUUCAUGAUGAAAUAUGAGAGGAUUUUUUGGAAUAGCAGAGGUCUUAAAGACUUGGUUAAAAGAAGGUUUCUAGCCGAUGCGUCUAUUGAACACAAGCUGGACUUGAUCGCCCUUUCUGAAACUAGAAGGGCCAACUUCACCCCCCACUUCCUUAGCACUCUUUAUGGGGGUGUCGACUUCGACUGGCAUUGUCUACCUCCAAGAGGAAGGUCCGGCGGGAUCUUACUUGGAGUUAAGUGUGAUUAUUUGGAAGUUCGGAGUGUGGUCAUGGGGGACUUCGCGGUAAAAUUUUGAGUCAGAUCAAAGGCCGAUGGGUUUAAUUGGCCAUUGGUGGCGGUAUAUGGUGUCGCGCAGCCAGAACUCAAACCUGAUUUCUUAGCUGAUUGAUACGUCUCCAACAUAUCUAUAAUUUUUGAUUGUUCCAUGAUAUUAUAUUAACUAUUUUGGAUGUUUAUGGGCUUUAUUAUACACUUCUAUAUUAUUUUUGGGACUAACCUAUUAACCGGAGGCCCAGCCCAAAUUGCUGUUUUCUUGCCUAUUUCAGUGUUUCGAAGAAAAGGAAUAUCGAACAGAGUCCAAACGGAAUGAAACCUUCGGGAGAGUUAUUUUUGGAACGGAAGCAAUCCAGGAGACUUGGAGUAGACGUCAGCGAAGCUUCGAGGUGGCCACGAGGCAGGGAGGCACGCCUGCCCCCUGGGCGUGCCCCCCACCCUCGUGGGCCCCUCGUGGCUCCCCUAACCGACUUCUUUCACCUAUAUAUAUAUAUAUCCACAUACCCUAAAAACAUCAGGAAGCAUAAUAGAUCGGGAGUUCCGCCGCCGCAAGCCUCUGUAGCCACCAAAAACCAAUCGGGACCCUGUUCCGGCACCCUGCCGGAGGGGGGAUCCCUCUCCGGUGGCCAUCUUCAUCAUCCCGGUGCUCUCCAUGAUGAGGAGGGAGUAGUUCACCCUCGGGGCUGAGGGUAUGUACCAAUAGCUAUGUGUUUGAUCUCUCUCUCUCGUGUUCUUGAGGUGGUACGAUCUUGAUGUAUCGCGAGCUUUGCUAUUACAGUUGGAUCUUAUGAUGUCUCUCCCCCUCUACUCUCUUGUGAUGAAUUGAGUUUUCCCUUUGAAGUUAUCUUAUCGGAUUGAGUCUUUAAGGAUUUGAGAACACUUGAUGUAUGUCUUGCAUGUGCUUAUCUGUGGUGACAAUGGGAUAUCACGUGAUCCACUUGAUGUAUGUUUUGGUGAUCAAGUUGCGAGUUCCGUGACCUCGUGAACUUAUGCAUAGGGGUUGGCACACGUUUUCGUCUUGACUCUCCGGUAGAAACUUUGGGGCACUCUUUGAAGUUCUUUGUGUUGGUUGAAUAAAUGAAUCUGAGAUUGUGUGAUGCAUAUCGUAUAAUCAUACCCGCGGAUACUUGAGGUGGCAUUGGAGUAUUUAGGUGACAUUAGGGUUUUGGUUGGUUUGUGUCUUAAGGUGUUAUUUUACUACGAACUCUAGGGUUGUUUGUGACACUUAUAGGAAUAGCCCAAUGGAUUGAUCGGAAAGAAUAACUUUGAGGUGGUUUCGUACCCUACCAUAAUCUCUUUGUUUGUUCUCCGCUAUUAGUGACUUUGGAGUGACUCUUUGUUGCAUGUUGAGGGAUAGUUAUAUGAUCCAAUUAUGUUAUCAUUGUUGAGAGAACUUUCGCUAGUGAAAGUAUGAACUCUAGGCCUUGUUUCAACGCAUUGCAAUACCAUUUACGCUCACUUUUAUCACUUGCUACCUUGCUGUUUUCAUUACAAAAACCUAUGUCUACCAUCCAUAUUGCACUUGUAUCACCAUCUCUUUGCCGCACAUAUACAAUUUACCAUUGUAUUGGGUGUGUUGGGGACACAAGAGACUCUUUGUUGUUUGGUUUCAGGGUUGCUUGAGAGAGACCAUCUUCAUCCUACGCCUCCCACGGAUUGAUAAACCCUAGGUCAUCCACUUGAGGAAAAUUUGCUACUGUCCUACAAACCUCUGCACUUGGAGGCCCAACAACAUCUACAAGAAUAAGGUUGUGUAGUAGACAUUAAGCUCUUUUCUGGCGCUGUUGCCGAGGAGCUUAGCGCUUGAAGGUAUAUCUUUAGAUCUUGCAAUUGAAUCUUUUAGUUUCUUGUUUUAUCACUAGUUUAGUCUAUAAAAGAAAACUACAAAAAAAUGGAAUUGAGGGUACCUCGUAUGCUUCAUCUUUUUAAUGUCUUUCAUCAAAAUAAGGAUUCCGAUAAUUGUGCCAAAGUGUUAGAAGAAGAAUGCAUUAGAAUGUUUGGCACUAAAUCUUUGUAUGAUGAGCAUGGUUGCAAUGUUAUUAGUAUGAAUUCCUUGGAUAUCUAUGAUGCUAAUGAUAUGCAAAGCCACAAGCUUGGGGAUGCUAUGCUUGACGAAGAUGAUAUUUUUUGUCCCCCAAGUUUUGAUGAGCAAAUUUAUUAUGAUGAAAGCAUGCCUCCUAUUUAUGAUGACUAUAUUGAUGAAAGUGGAUUUGGAGAGGUCAUGACUUUAUUUGGUGAUGAAUCCACUAUUUCGGAAGAGGUUCCAAUUGAUUAUGAGAACAAAGUUGCUAUCUAUGAUGAUUAUUGUGAUGACAUGUAUGCUAUAAAGAAUAAUGAUAACCAUGAAACUUGUCGUCAUGAUUUUAAUUUUCAAUUGGAUUAUGCCUCACAUGAUAGUUAUUUUGUUGAGUUUGCUCCCACUAUUAUCCAUGUCAAUAAAUUUGCAUAUGUCGGGAGUGAUAAAAUUUCUAUGCUUAUGCAUCAUGAAAAUAAUGCAUUAUGUGAUAGCUACAUUGUUGAAUUCAUUCAUGAUGCUACUGAAAAUUAUUAUGAGGGAGGAAUAUAUGCUUGUAGGAAUUGCGAUAAUAUCAAGUUUCCUCUCUAUGUGCUUAAAGUUUUGAAGUUUUGCUUGCUUUACCUUCCUAUGCAAGUUAAUUCUUAUUCCCACAAGUUGUUUGCUCACAAAAUCCCUAUGCAUAGGAAGUGGGUUAGACUUAAAGGUGCUAGUCAUAUUCUUCAUGAUGCUCUCUUUAUGUUUCAAUUCUUAUCUUUUAUGUGAGCAUCAUUGAAAUCAUCAUGCCUAGCUAGGGGCGUUAAACGAUAGUGCUUGUUGGGAGGCAACCCAAUUUUAUUUUUGUUCUUUGCUUUAUGCUCCUGUUUAGUAAUAAAUAAUUCAUCUAGCCUCUGUUUAGAUGUGGUUUUAUGCUUUUAAUUAGUGUUUGUGCCAAGUAGAACCUUUGGGAAGGCUUGGGGAAAGUCUUUGCGAUCUUGCUGUAAAAAACAGAAACUUUAGCGCUCACGAGAAUUGCUGCCAUUUUUUAUUGAAGAGUGAUAUUUAGUUAAUUCUUUUUGCAGAUGAUUAAUAGAUAAAUUCCUCACGUCCAUAAAUUAUUUUAGAAUUUGUGGGGUUCCAGAAGUAGUCGAAACCUACAGAUUACUACAGAAUGUUCUGUUUUUGACAGAUUCUAUUUUCUAUGUGUUGUUUGCUUAUUUUGAUGAAUCUAUGAGUAGUAUCGGAGGGUAUGAAACAUAGAUAAGUUGUGAUACAGUAGAUAUUACACAAAUAUGAAUUUAUAAUGAGUUCACAAUAGUACCUAAGUGGUGAUUUAUUUUCUUAUACUAACGGAGCUUACGAGUUUUCUGUUAAGUUUUGUGUUGUGAAGUUUUCAAGUUUUGGGUAAAGAUUCGAUGGACUAUGAAAUAAGGAGUGGCAAGAGCCUAAGCUUGGGGAUGACCAAGGCACCCCAAGGUAAUAUUCAAGGACAACCAAGAGCCUAAGCUUGGGGAUGCCCCGGAAGGCACCCCCUCUUUCGUCUUCGUUCAUUGGUAACUUUACUUGGAGCUAUAUUUGUAUUUACCACAUGAUAUGUGUUUUGCUUGGAGCGUCAUUUUAUUUUAUUUUACUUUACUUGCUGUUUGAAUAAAAUAUCAAGAUCUGAAAUUAUUAAAUGUUAGAGAGUCUUCACAUAGUUGCAUAAUUGUUCGACUACUCAUUGAUCUUCACUUAUAUCUUUCGGAGUAGUUUCUCAUUUGCUCUAAUGCUUAACUUAUAUCUUUUUAGAGCACGGCGAUGGUUUUAUUUUGAAGAAAUAGAUGAAAUAUCAUGCUUCACUUAUAUUAUUUUGAGAAUCUUUUAGAACAGCAUGGUAAUUUGCUUUGGUUAUGAAAUUAGUCCUAAUAUGAUAGGCAUCCAAGAUGGGUAUAAUAAAAACUUUCAUAUAGAGUGCGUUGAAUACUAUGAGAAGUUUGAUACUUGAUAAUUAUUUUGAGAUAUAAAGGUGGUAAUAUUAGAGUCAUGCUAGUUGAGUAGUUGUGAAUUUGAGAGAUACUUGUGUUAAAGUUUGUGAUUCCCGUAGCAUGCACGUAUGGUGAACCGUUAUGUGAUGAAGUCGAAGCAUGAUUUAUUUAUUGAUUGUCUUCCUUGUGAGUGGCGGUCAGGGACGAGCGAUGGUCUUUUCCUACCAAUCUAUACCCCUAGAAGCAUGAGCGUAGUACUUUGUUUCGAUAACUAAUAGAUUUUUGCAAUAAGUAUGUGAGUUCUUUAUGACUAAUGUUGAGUCCAUGGAUUAUACGCACUCUCACCCUUCCACAUUUGCUAGCCUCUCCAUUACCGCGCACUUUUCGCCGGUAUCAUAUACCCACCAUAUACCUUCCUCAAAACAUCCACCAUACCUACCUAUUAUGGCAUUUCCAUAGCCAUUCUGAGAUAUAUUGCCAUGCAACUUUCCACUGUUCCAUUUAUUAUGACACGCUCCAUCAUUGUCAUAUUAUUUUGCAUGAUCAUGUAGUUGACAUCGUAUUUGUGGCAAAGCCACCGUUCAUAAUUCUUUCAUACAUGUCACUCAUGAGUCAUUGCACAUCCUGGUACACCGCCGGAGGCAUUCACAUAGAGUCAUAUUUUGUUCUAAGUAUCGAGUUGUAAUUCCUGAGUUGUAAGUAAAUAAAAGUGUGAUGAUCAUCAUUAUUAGAGCAUUGUCCCAGUAAGAAAAGGAUGAUGGAGACUAUGAUUCCCCCACAAGUAGGGAUGAGACUCUUGACAAAAAAUAAAUAAAUAAAAAGAGAAAAGAGGCCAAAAAAAGAAGGCCCAAAUAAAAAAAAGAAAAAGAGAGAAGGGACAAUGUUACUAUCCUCUUUCCACACUUGUGCUUCAAAGUAGCACCAUGAUCUUCAUGAUAGUGAAAGAAAUAUGACCUAGAGGCAAUAAUAAAGUUAUUAUUUAUUUCCUUAUUUCAUGAUAAAUGUUUAUUAUUUAUGCUAGAAUUGUAUUAACCGAAAACAUAAUACAUGUGUGAAUACAUAGACAAACAGAGUGUCACUAGUAUGCCUCUACUUGACUAGCUCGUUGAAUCAAAGAUGGUUAAGUUUCCUAGCCAUAGACAUGAGUUGUCAUUUGAUUAAUGGGGUCACAUCAUUAGAGAAUGAUGUGAUUGACUUGACCCAUUCCGUUAGCAUAGCACUUGAUCGUUUUACUUUGUUGCUAUUGCUUUCUUCAUGACUUAUACAUGUUCCUAUGACUAUGGGAUUAUGCAACUCCCGUUUACCGAAGGAACACUUUGUGUGCUACCAAACGUCACAACGUAACUGGGUGAUUAUAAAGGUGCUCUACAGGUGUCUUCGAAGGUACUUGUUGGGUUGGCGUAUUUCGAGAUUAGGAUUUGUCACUCCGAUUGUCGGAGAGGUAUCUCUGGGCCCACUCGGUAAUGCACAUCACUAUAAGCCUUGCAAGCAUUGCAACUAAUGAGUUAGUUGCGGGAUGAUGUGUUACAGAACUAGUAAAGAGACUUGCCGGUAACGAUAUUGAACUAGGUAUUGAGAUACCGAUGAUCGAAUCUCGGGCAAGUAACAUACCGAUGACAAAGGGAACAACAUAUGUUGUUAUGCGGUUUGACCGAUAAAGAUCUUCAUAGAAUAUGUAGGAACCAAUAUGAGCAUCCAGGUUCCGCUAUUGGUUAUUGACCGGAGACAUGUCUCGGUCAUGUCUACAUAGUUCUCGAACCCAUAGGGUCCGCACACUUAAAGUUUCAGUGAAGAUUUGUAUUAUGAGUUAUGUGUUUUGAUGUACCGAAGGUAGUUCGGAGUCCCAGAUGAGAUCGGGGACAUGACGAGGAGUCUCGAAAUGGUCGAGACAUAAAUAUUAAUAUAUUGGAAGACUAUAUUCGGACAUCGGAAAGGUUCCGAGUGAUUCGGGUAUUUUUCGGAGUACCGGGGAGUUACAGGAAUACGAGGAAGUAACAUUGGGCCUUAAUGGGCCUUAGUGGGAAGGAGAGGCAGUAGCCAGGAGGUGGCGCGCCCCCCUCCCAAGCCCAGUCCAAAUUGGACAAGGGGUUUGGGGCGCGGCCCCCUCUCCCUUCCUUCUCCACUCCCCUCCUUUCCCCCCUUCUCCUAGUUGGACUAGGAAAGGAGGAAACCUACUCCUACUAGGAGUAGGAAUCCUACUCCCUUGGCGCGCCCCUCCUAGGGCCAGCCUCCUCCUCCCUUGCUCCUUUAUAUUCGGGGGCAAGGGGGCACCCCAAGACACACAAGUUGAUCUGUUGAUCUCUCCCAGCCGUUUGUAGUGCCCCCCUCCACCAUAUUCCACCUCAGUCAUAUUGUAGCGGUGCUUAGGCGAAGCCCUGCGUCGGUAGCAACAUCAUCACCGUCAUCACGCCGUCGUGCUGACGGAACUCUCCCGUGAAGCUCUGCUGAAUCGGAGUUCGCGGGACGUCAUCGAGCUGAACGUGUGCUGAACUCGGAGGUGCCGUGCGUUCGGUACUUGAUCGGUCGGAUCAUGAAGACGUACAACUACAUCAACCGUGUUGUGCUAACGCUUCCGCUUUCGGUCUAUGAGGGUACAUGGACAGACUCUCCCCUCUCGUUGCUAUGCAUCACCAUGAUCUUGCGUGUGCGUAGGAAAUUUUUGAAAUUACUAUGUUUCCCUACAGAUAGAGAGUCUCCUAUGUUGUCACUUUCAUAUACUAGUGAGAAUUUUUCAUUAUAGAACUUGGCUUGUAUAUUCCAAUGAUGGGCUUCCUCAAAAUGCCCUAGGUCUUCGUGAGCAAGCGAGUUGGGUGCACACCCACUUAGUUUCUUUUUGAGCUUUCAUACACUUAUAGCUCUAGUGCAUCCAUUGCAUGGCAAUCCCUACUCACUCACAUUGAUAUCUAUUGAUGGGCAUCUCCAUAGCUCGUUGAUACGCCUAGUUGAUGUGAGACUAUCUUCUGCUUUUUUUCUUCUCCACAACCACAUUUCUAUUCCACCUAUAGUGCUACAUCCAUAGCUCGCGCUCAUGUAUUGCAUGAAGAUUGAAAAAGUUUGAGAAUAUCAAAAGUAUGAAACAAUUGCUUGGCUUGUUAUCGGGGUUGUGCAUGAUUUAAAUAUUUUGUGUGAUGAAGAUAGAGCAUAGUCAGACUAUAUGAUUUUGUAGGGAUAGCUUCCUUUGGCCAUGUUAUUUUGAGAAGACAUAAUUGCUUGGUUAGUAUGCUUGAAGUAUUAUUAUUUUUAUGUAAAUAUUAAACUUUUGUCUUGAAUAUUAUGGAUUUGAAUAUUCUUGCCAUAAUAAAGAAGAUUACAUUAAUAAAUAUGUUAGGUAGCAUUCCACAUCAAAAAUUCUGUUUUUAUCAUUUACCUAUUUGAGGACGAGCAGGAAUUAAGCUUGGGGAUGCUGAUACGUCUCCAACGUAUCUAUAUUUUUGUAUUGUUCCAUGCUAUUAUAUUAUCUGUUUUGGAUGUUUAUGGGCUUUAUUAUACACUUUCAUAUUAUUUUUGGGACUAACCUAUUAACCGGAGGCCCAUCCCAAAUUGAUGUUUUCUUGCCUAUUUCAGUGUUUCGAAGAAAAGGAAUAUCAAACGGAGUCCAAACGGAAUGAGACCUUCAGGAGAGUUAUUUUUGGAACGAAAGCAAAUCAGGAGACUUAGAGGAGACGUCAGGGAAGCUUCGAGGUGGCCACGAGGUAGGGAGGCGUGCCUGUCCCCUAGGCGUGCCCCCACCCUCAUGGACCCCUCAUGGCUCCCCUGACCGACUUCUUUCACCUAUAUAUAUCCAUAUACCCUAAAAACAUCAGGAAACAAAAUAGAUCGGGACCCUGUUCCGGCACCCUGCCGGAGGGGGGAUCCCUCUCCGGUGUCCAUCUUCAUCAUCCCGGCGCUCUCCAUGACGAGGAGGGAGUAGUUCACCCUCGGGGCUGAGGGUAUGUACCAGUAGCUAUGUGUUUGAUCUCUCUCUCUCUCUCGUGUUCUUGAGGUGGUACGAUCUUGAUGUAUCACGAGCUUUGCUAUUAUAGUUGGAUCUUAUGAUGUCUCUCCCCCUCUACUCUCUUGUGCUGAAUUGAGUUUUCCCUUUGAAGUUAUCUUAUCGUGUUGAGUCUUUAAGGAUUUGAGAACACUUGAUGUAUGUCUUGCAUGUGCUUAUGUGUGGUGACAAUGGGAUAUCACGUGAUCCACUUGAUGUAUGUUUUGGUGAUCAACUUGCGAGUUCUGUGACCUCAUGAACUUAUGCAUAGGGGUUGGCACACGUUUUCGUCUUGACUCUCCGGUGGAAACUUUAGGGCACUCUUUGAAGUUCUUUGUGUUGGUUGAAUAGAUGAAUUUGAGAUUGCGUGAUGCAUAUCGUAUAAUCAUACCCGCGGAUACUUGAGGUGACAUUGGAGUAUCUAGGUGACAUUAGGGUUUUGGUUGAUUUGUGCCUUAAGGUGUUAUUUUACUACGAACUCUAGGGCUGUUUGUGACACUUAUAGGAAUCGCCCAAUGGAUUGAUCGGAAAGAAUAACUUUGAGGUGUUUUCGUACCCUACCAUAAUCUCUUCGUUUGUUCUCCGCUAUUAGUGACUUUGGAGUGACUCUUUGUUGCAUGUUGAGGGAUAGUUAUAUGAUCCAAUUAUGUUAUUAUUGUUAAGAGAACUUGCACUAGUGAAAGUAUGAACUCUAGGCCUUGUUUCAACGCAUUGCAAUACCGUUUAUGCUCACUUUUAUCACUUGCUACCUUACUGUUUUUGUAUUUUCAGAUUACAAAAACCUAUAUCUACCAUCCAUAUUGCACUUGUAUCACCAUCUCUUCGCCGAACUAGUGCACCUAUAAAAUUUAGCAUUGUAUUGGGUGUGUUGGGGGCACAAGAGACUCUUUGUUGUUUGGUUGCAGGGUUGCUUGAGAGAGACCAUCUUCAUCCUACGCCUCCCACGGAUUGAUAAACCUUAGGUCAUCCACUUGAGGGAAAUUUGCUACUGUCCUAUAAACCUCUGCACUUGGAGGCCCAACAACGUCCACAAGAAGAAGGUUGUGUAGUAGACAUGACUGACCUCGUCCGUAUUUGUGGUAGCGAGCAGCUCCCAAUUCUCAUUGGGGGCGAUUUUAAGAUUAUUCGAAGAAGGAAGGAAAAGAAUAAUGAGAAUUUUGACGACAGAUGGUCCUUUAUGUUAAAUACCAUAAUCGAAAGCUUGGAUCUUAUAGAGAUAGAGCUUUCUGGUAGGAAAUUCACUUGGGCUAAUUCGUUACCAAACCCGACUUUUGAGAAGUUGGACCGUGUCCUCGCCAGCGUCGAAUGGGAGCAGAAGUUUCCCCUGGUAAUAGUCCAAGCGUUAUCACGCGCAGUCUGGGAUCACACUCCAUUGCUAAUUGAUUCUGGUGAGGCCACCCAUGUGGGGAAUAAAAACUACUUCUCUUUUGAAUUAUCGUGGUUUGAAAGAGAAGGGUUACUAGAUCUGGUAGCAAGGGAAUGGGCUAAAGAUUUAGGAGGGAGGUCUCCUAUUAAAAGAUGGCAGAAUAAGAUUAGGCAUCUACGAAGAUUCCUGCGUGUAUGGGCAAAGCAUACGCAUGGGAUAUAUAAGGUUGAGAAGGAAAGGCUCCUUCUACUUAUUCAAUCCCUCGAUAUAAAAGAUGAACCCACUAUUUUAGAUACCAGAGAGCUGGAAACUAAAAUGGAGGCGGAGUUGAGACUGGAAGAACUCCUUCGAGAGGAGGAAUUGAAGUGGGCACUGCGAGCUAAGGUUCGCAAAAUCAUCCAAGGGGAUGACAACACUCAAUUCUUUCAUAUGAUUGCAAAUGGCAAGCACCGAAAGAAGAGGAUAUUUUAGCUUGAGCAAGAUGAGGGUACGAUUCUAAGACAAGAGAACCUUAAAGUUUAUAUAACUAAUUACUAUAAGCAGUUGUUUGGACCCCCGGAGGAUAAUUUUGUAUCCUUAGAUGAGUCCAUGGUUGAGGGUGUCCCUCAACUUGCGGCAGAUGAUAAUGAUAUUCUGACCGCCCCAUUUACGGAGAAAGAGGUGUUUGAGGCCAUUGCACAAAUGAAAAACAAUAAGGCUCCAGGGCCGGAUGGUUUUUCGGCAGAGUUUUAUAAAAAGUGUUGGCAUAUUAUCAAAGGAGAUUUGCUCCCAAUGUUCCAUGACCUAUUCUCUGGACAACUUCACUCUGGACAGCUUCAGUUGUUUCAAUUAAAUUUUGGAACGAUAACUUUACUUCCUAAGAAAACGGAGGUUGUUCGUAUCGAGCAGUUCAAGCCUAUCUGUCUUCUUAAUGUAAGUUUCAAAAUUUUCACCAAGGUCGUGACGAACAGGCUUAUGCAAAUUGCGCACUCUGUGGUGCACCCGUCCUAAACUACUUUCAUGCCGGACAGAAACAUCCUCGAAGGGGUUGUGGUCCUACAUGAAACUCUCCAUGAAAUCCACACGAAAAAACUAGACAGAGUUGUUUUCAAACUAGACUUUGAGAAAGCGUACGAUAAGGUAAAAUGACCUUUCCUUCAACAAGCUUUGCGUAUGAAAGGUUUUGAUCAGGCCUGGAGAAGCCAGGUAGUUUCUUUCACGCAAAAAGGGAGUGUUGGGAUUAAAGUGAAUGAUGACAUAGGUCACUACUUCCAAACACACAAAGGACUGAGGCAAGGAGUUCUGAUGUCACCUAUUCUUUUCAACAUAGUGGUCGAUAUGUUGGCAAUUCUUAUAGGAAGGGCUAAGGAGGUGGGCCAGGUAGGAGGCCUUGUCCUGCACUUAGUUGACGGUGGUGUAUCCAUCCUACAGUACGCUGAUGAUACUAUCAUCUUCAUGGAGCAUGACUUGGCAAAAGCGCAAAACAUGAAGCUGGUGUUAUGCUUAUUCGAACAACUGACCGAGUUAAAGAUUAACUUCCAUAAGAGCGAAUUGUUCUGUUUUGGAAGAGCUAAUGAUGACCAAGAUGCAUACAAACAAUUGUUCGGGUGUGAGUUGGGGGCUUUACCUUUCACGUAUUUAGGUAUACCUAUUCACCAUCAUAAGCUAACCAACAGAGAAUGGAAGUGUAUUGAGGAUCGAUUUGAGAAGAAACUGAGCCGCUCGAAAGGAAAGCUAAUGUCAUACGGAGGCCGACUAAUUCUUAUUAACUCGGUCCUCAUGAGUAUGCUCAUGUUUAUCCUUUCCUUUUUUGAGAUUCCUGUGGGAGUCCGGAAGAGGCUAAACUUCUAUCGAUCUUGUUUUUUCUCGCAGUGUGAUGAGCUAAAACGAAAAUACAGACUUCCUAAAUGGGAUAUAAAUUGUAGGCCAAAAGACCAAGGGGGUCUAGGCAUUGAAAACCUGGAGGUGAAGAACAAAUGUCUUCUUAGCAAGUGGCUGUUUAAGCUUUCUGUCAAGACGGAGGUCACUUGGGCUCAGAUCUUACGUAACAAGUAUCUCCACUCUAGAACCUUGUCUCAGGUGAUAAUGAGGCCGACUGACUCGCCUUUUUGGAAAGGGUUGAUGAGAGUUAAAUCACUCUUAUUCAAUAGAACAAGAUUCAUAGUUGAAAAUGGUACCACUACGAGAUUCUGGGAGGAUACAUGGCUAGGGGAGAUGCCCCUAGCACUCCAAUAUCCAUCUCUAUAUAGCAUUGUUCAGCGUAAAGACGCUUACGUUGCAACAGUGAUGCAGUCUACUCCGCUCAACAUUCAAUUUAGGAGGACGCUAGUAGGGAGCUGUCGGGAAGUCUGGCUCAAUCUUUGUGAGAAGAUUGAUGGAUGUCCAGUUGAAAGAUCGUGGAUGCCGCCUAGAGGGGGGGGGUAAAUAGGCGCUUUAAAAUAAUUACGGUUUAGUCUUGAACAAAGGCGGAAUAAACCUAGCGUUAAUUUGCCAAGCACAAAGCCUAAAACAACUAGGCUCACCUAUGUGCACCAACAACUUAUGCUAAGCAAGAUAAACUACUAGGUGAUAGCAAGGUAUAUGACAAGAAACAAUAUGGCUAUCACAAAGUAAAGUGCAUAAGUAAAGAGCUCGGGUAAGAGAUAACCGAGGCACGCGGAGACGAGAUGUAUCCCUAAGUUCACACCCUUGCGGAUGCUAAUCUCCGUUUGGAGUGGUGUGGAGGCACAAUGCUCCCCAAGAAGCCACUAGGGCCACCGUAAUCUCCUCACGCCCUCGCAUAAUGCAAGAUGCCGUGAUUCCACUAAGGGACCCUUGAGGGCGGUCAUCGAACCCGUACAAAUGGCAACCCUUGGGGGCGGUCACCGGUACCCGUUCACUUUGGCAACCCUUGGGGGCGGUCACCGGUACCCGUCAAAUUGCUCGGGGCGAUCUCCACAACCUAAUUGGAGACCCCGAUGCUUGCCCGGAGCUUUACACCACAAUGAUUGAGCUCCGAACACCACCAACUGUCUAGGGCGCCCAAGCACCCAAGAGGAACAAGCUCAAGGAUACCAAGCACCCAAGAGUAAUAAGCUUCUCAACUUGUAACUUCCAUGUAUCAUGUGGAGAACUCAAACCAACGCACCAAAUGUAAUGGCAAGGGCACACGGAGUGCCCAAGUCCUUCUCUUCCAAAUCCCACCGAAGCAACAAAUGCAAGGGAGGAAAAUGAGAGGAAGAACGAAGAAGAGAACACGAAGAACUCCAAGAUCUAGAUCCAAGGGGUUCCCUCACAUAGAGGAGAAAGUGAUUGGUGGAAACGUGGAUCUAGAUCUCCUCUCUCUUUUCCCUCAAGAACUAGCAAGAAUCAUUGGAGGGAUUGAGAGUUAGCAAGCUCGAAGAAGGUCAACAAUGGGGGAAGAACACGAGCUAAAGAGAUCAGGUUCAAUGGGGAAGAAGACCCCCUUUUAUAGGUGGGAAAAAAUCCAACCGUUAUGCUCACAGCCCGCACAGAGCGGUACUACCGCUCCAAGGAGCGGUACUACCGCUAGGGCGGUAGUACCCCUUUGAAAAACAACAGCGAGGAGGCAAAAGGCCGGUAGAACCGCCGGAGCGGUACUACCGCUCGUCCUCACGGUACUACCGCUAGGGAUCGCGGUACUACUACAAAGGGUAGCGGUACUACUGCUAGCGAGCGGUACUAAAAAAAUACAUCCGGGCCUACCACCACAGGACUUGGGACGAGUUUUUGGUCCGGAGCGGUACUACCGCUGUAGGAGCCAUGGUAGUACCGCUCCGAAGCGGUAGUAAAAAAUUACAUCCGCUACAAUUCGCGAUAGUACCGCUGCAGCCUUUUCAGAACACCAAAACUGCCACAACUUUUGCAAACGAACUCCGAAUUCGAUGAAACCAAAUUUGUUGGAAAGCUAGCGACAAGGGAUAACACAAUCUUGAAAGAAAUAUCAAUAAGAAGCAAAUUACAAAAGGCCCGUAAGAAAAUGGUGAGAACCAUUCCUCGGAAAAGACCGAUAAAACCUCCAACACCGAAAACAUCAUAGAAGACACAUGCGAACUCCAUUUUCGAUGAACUCAAGCUUGUCAUCAAGAUGACCAUAAGCUCUAAGACUCACAAAGAGAACCAAACAAGAACCUGUUGGGGAACGUAGUAAUUUCAAAAAAAAUUCCUACGCACACUCAAGAUCAUGGUGAUGCAUAGCAACGAGAGGGGAGAGUGUUGUCCACGUACCCUCGUAGACCGAAAGCGGAAGCGUUAUAACAACACGGUUGAUGUAGUCGUACGUCUUCACGGCCCGACCGAUCAAGCACCGAAACUACGACACCUCCGAGUUCUAGCACACGUUCAGCUCGAUGACGAUCCCCGGACUCCGAUCCAGCAAAUUGUCGGGGAAGAGUUCCGUCAGCACGACGGCGUGGUGACGAUCUUGAUGUUCUACCAUCGCAGGGCUUUGCCCAAGCACCGCUACAAUAUUAUCGAGGAUUAUGGUGGAGGGGGGCACCGCACAUGGCUAAGAGAUCUCAAGGAUCAAUUGUUGUGUCUAGAGGUGCCCCCCUGCCCCCGUAUAUAAAGGAGCAAGGGGGAGGGGCGGCCGGCCAUGAUGAGGCGUGCCAGGGAGGAGUCCUACUCCUACCAGGAGUAGGACUCUCUCCUUUUCCUUGUCCAAGUAGGAGAGGGGGAAGGAAGGGGGAGAGGAGAGGAAGGAAAGGGGGGCGGCGCCCCUCCCUCCUUGUCCAAUUCGGACUAGGGGGAGAGGGGGCGCGCGGCCUGCCCUGGCCGCCCCUCCUCUUCUCCACUUUAGGCCCAUGAGGCCCAUUAACCCCCCGGGGGGUUCCGGUAACCCCCCCCCCCGGUACUCGGUUUUAUCCGAAACUUCCCCGGAACACUUCCGGUGUCCGAAUAUAGCCGUCCAAUAUAUCAAUCUUUAUGUCUCGACCAUUUCGAGACUCCUCGUUAUGUCCGUGAUCACAUCCGCGACUUCGAACUAACUUCGGUACAUCAAAACUAAUAAACUCAUAAUAUAACUGUCAUCGAAACCUUAAGCGUGCGGACCCUAUGGGUUCGAGAACAAUGUAGACAUGACCGAGACACGUCUCCGGUCAAUAACCAAUAGCGGAACCUGGAUGCUCAUAUUGGCUCCCACAUAUUCUAAGAAGAUAUUUUAUCGGUCAGACCGCAUAACAACAUACGUUGUUCCCUUUGUCAUCGGUAUGUUACUUGCCCGAGAUUCGAUCGUCGGUAUCUCAAUACCUAGUUCAAUCUCGUUGCCGGCAAGUCUCUUUACUCGUUUUGUAAUACAUCAUCUCGCAACUAACUCAUUAGUUGCAUUGCUUGCAAGGCUUAGGUGAUGUGCAUUACCGAGAGGGCCCAGAGAUACCUCUCCGACAAUCGGAGUGACAAAUCCUAAUCUCGAAAUACGCCAACCCAACAUGUACCUUUGGAGACACCUGUAGAGCACCUUUAUAAUCACCCACUUACGUUGUGAUGUUUGGUAGCACACAAAGUGUUCCUCCGGCAAACGGGAGUUGCAUAAUCUCAUAGUCAUAGGAACAUGUAUAAGUUAUGAAGAAAGAAAUAGCAACAUACUAAAUGAUCGGGUGCUAAGCUAAUGGAAUGGGUCAUGUCAAUCACAUCAUUCUCCUAAUAAUGUGAUCCCGUUAAUCAAAUGACAACACAUGUCUAUGGUUAGGAAACAUAACCAUCUUUGAUUAAUGAGCUAGUUAAGUAGAGGCAUACUAGUGACGUUUAGUUUGUCUAUGUAUUCACACAAGUAUUAUGUUUCCGGAUAAUACAAUUCUAGCAUGAAUAAUAAACAUUUAUCAUGAUAUAAGGAAAUAAAAUAAUAACAUUAUUAUUGCCUCUAGGGCAUAUUUCCUUUAGUCUCCCACUUGCACUAGAGUCAAUAAUCUAGAUUACACGGUAAUGAUUCUAACACCCAUGGAGCUUUGGUGUUGAUCAUGUUUUGCUCGUGGAAGAGGCUUAGUCAACAGGUCUGCAACAUUCAGAUCCGUAUGUAUCUUGCAAAUCUCUAUGUCUCCCACCUGGACUAGAUCCCAGAUGGAAUUGAAGCGUCUCUUGAUGUGCUUGGUUCUCUUGUGAAACCUGGAUUCCUUUGCCAAGGCAAUUGCACCAGUAUUGUCACAAAAGAUUUUCAUUGGACCCGAUGCACUAGGUAUGACACCUAGAUCGGAUAUGAACUCCUUCAUCCAGACUCCUUCGUUUGCUGCUUCCGAAGCAGCUAUGUACUCCGCUUCACAUGUAGAUCCCGCCACAACGCUUUGUUUAGAACUGCACCAACUGACAGCUCCACCGUUUAAUGUAAACACGUAUCCGGUUUGCGAUUUAGAAUCGUCCGAAUCAGUGUCAAAUCUUGCAUCAACGUAACCAUUCACGAUGAGCUCUUUGUCACCUCCAUAUACGAGAAACAUAUCCUUAGUCCUUUUCAGGUAUUUCAGGAUGUUCUUGACCGCUGUCCAGUGAUCCACUCCUGGAUUACUUUAGUACCUCCCUGCUAGACUUAUAGCAAGACACACAUCAGGUCUGGUACACAACAUUGCAUACAUGAUAGAGCCUAUGGCUGAAGCAUAGGGAACAUCUUUCAUUUUCUCUCUAUCUUCUACAUUGGUCGGGCAUUGAGUCUUACUCAAUUUCACACCUUGUAACACAGGCAAGAAUCCUUUCUUUGCUUGAUCCAUUUUGAACUUUUUCAAAAUUUUGUCAAGGUAUGUGCUUGGUGAAAGUCCAAUUAAGCGUCUUGAUCUACCUCGAUAGAUCUUAAUGCCCAAUAUGUAAGCAGCUUCACUGAGGUCUUUCAUUGAAAAACUCUUAUUCAAGUAUCCCUUUAUGCUAUCUAGAAAUUCUAUAUCAUUUCCAAUUAGUAAUAUGUCAUCUACAUAUAAUAUCAGAAAUGCUACAGAGCUCCCACUCACUUUCUUGUAAAUACAGGCUUCUCCAAAAGUCUGUACAAAACCAAAUGCUUUGAUCACACUAUCAAAGUGUUUAUUCCAACUCCGAGAGGCUUGCACCAGUCCAUAAAUGGAUCGCUGGAGCUUGCACACUUUGUUAGCUCCCUUUGGAUCGACAAAACCUUCGGCUGCAUCAUAUACAACUCUUCUUCCAGAAAUCCAUUCAGGAAUGCAGUUUUGACAUCCAUCUGCCAAAUUUCAUAAUCAGAAAAUGCGGCAAUUGCUAACAUGAUUCGGACAGACUUAAGCAUCGCUACGGGUGAGAAGGUCUCAUCAUAGUCAAUCCCUUGAACUUGUCGAAACCCUUUUGCGACAAGUCGAGCUUUGUAGACAGUAACAUUACCGUCAGCGUCAGUCUUCUUCUUGAAAAUCCAUUUAUUAUCAAUUGCUUGCCGAUCAUUGGGCAAGUCAACCAAAGUCCACACUUUGUUCUCAUACAUGGAUCCCAUCUCAGAUUUCAUGGCUUCAAGCCAUUUUGCGGAAUCUGGGCUCACCAUCGCUUCUUCAUAGUUCGUAGGUUCAUCAUGAUCUAGUAGCAUGACUUCCAGAACAGGAUUACCGUACCACUCUGGUGCGGAUCUUACUCUGGUUGAUCUACGAGGUUCGGUAGUAACUUGUUCUGAAGUUUCAUGAUCAUUAUCAUUAGCUUCCUCACUAAUUGGUGUAGGUGUCACAGAAACUGUUUUCUGUGAUGUACUACUUUCCAACAAGGGAGCAGGUACAGUUACCUCAUCAAGUUCUACUUUCCUCCCACUCACUUCUUUCGAGAGAAACUCCUUCUCUAGAAAGGAUCCAUUCUUAGCGACAAAUGUCUUGCCUUCGGAUCUGUGAUAGAAGGUGUACCCAACAGUUUCCUUUGGGUAUCCUAUGAAGACACAUUUCUCCUAUUUGGGUUCGAGCUUAUUAGGUUGAAGUUUUUUCACAUAAGCAUCGUAGCCCCAAACUUUCAGAAACAUCAACUUUGGUUUCUUGCCAAACCACAGUUCAUAAGGCGUCGUCUCAACGGAUUUUGAUGGUGCCCUAUUUAAUGUGAAUGCGGCCAUCUCUAAAGCAUAACCCCAAAACGAUAGCGGUAAAUCUGUAAGAGACAUCAUAGAUCGCACCAUAUCAAGUAAAGUACGAUUACGACGUUCAGACACACCAUUACGCUGUGGUGUUCCGGGUGGCGUGAGUUGCGAAACUAUUCCGCAUUGUUUCAAAUGUAGACCAAACUCGUAACUCAAAUAUUCUCCUCCACAAUCAGAUCGUAGAAACUUUAUUUUCUUGUUACGAUGAUUUUCAACUUCACUCUGAAAUUCUUUGAACUUUUCAAAUGUUUCAGACUUAUGUUUCAUUAAGUAGAUAUACCCAUAUCUGCUUAAAUCAUCUGUGAAGGUGAGAAAAUAACGAUAUCCGCCACGAGCUUCAACAUUCAUUGGACCACAUACAUCUGUAUGUAUGAUUUCCAACAAAUCUGUUGCUCUCUCCAUAGUACCGGAGAACGGUGUUUUAGUCAUCUUGCCCAUGACGCACGGUUCGCAAGUACCAACUGAUUCAUAAUCAAGUGAUUCCAAAAGUCCAUCAGUAUGGAGUUUCUUCAUGCGUUUUAUACCGAUAUGACCUAAACGGCAGUGCCACAAAUAAGUUGCACUAUCAUUAUCAACUCUAUAUCUUUUGGUUUCAACAUUAUGAAUAUGUGUAUCACUACUAUCGAGAUUCAUCAAAAAUAGACCAUUCUUCAAGGGUGCAUGACCAUAAAAGAUAUUACUCAUAUAAAUAGAACAACCAUUAUUCUCUGAUUUAAAUGAAUAACCGCCUUGCAUUAAACAAGAUCCAGAUAUAAUGUUCAUGCUUAAUGCUGGCACCAAAUAACAAUUAUUUAGGUCUAAUACUAAUCCCGAUGGUAGAUGUAGAGUAGCGUGCCGACCGCGAUCACAUCGACCUUGGAACCAUUUCCCACGCGCAUCGUCACCUCGUCCUUCGCUAGUGUUCGCUUAAUCCGUAGUCCCUGUUUCGAGUUGCAAAUAUUAGCAAUAGAACCAGUAUCAAAUACCCAGGUGCUACUGCAAGCUCUAGUAAGGUACACAUCAAUAACAUGUAUAUCAUAUAUACCUUUGUUCACCUUGCCAUCCUUCUUAUCCGCCAAAUACUUCGGGCAGUUCCGCUUCCAGUGACCAGUCUGCUUGCAGUAGAAGCACUCAGUUUCAGGCUUAGGUCCAGAUUUGGGUUUCUUCUCUUGAGCAUCAACUUGCUUGCUGUUCUUCUUGAAGUUCCCCUUCUUCUUCCCUUUGCCCUUUUUCUUGAAACCAGUGGUCUUGUUGACCAUCAACACUUGAUGCUCCUUCUUGAUUUCUACCUCCGCAGCUUUCAGCAUUGCGAAGAGCUCGGGAAUAGUCUUAUUCAUCCCUUGCAUAUUAUAGUUCAUCACGAAGCUCUUGUAGCUAGGUGGCAGUGAUUGGAGAAUUAUGUCAAUGACGCAAUCAUCUGGAAGAUUAACUCCCAAUUGAAUCAAGUGAUUAUUAUACCCAGACAUUUUAAGUAUAUGCUCACUGACAGAACUGUUCUCCUCCAUCUUGCAGCUAUAGAACUUAUUGAAGACUUCAUAUCUCUCAAUUCGGGCAUUUGCUUGAAAUAUUAACUUCAACUCCUGGAACAUCUCAUAUGCUCCAUGAUGUUCAAAACGUCGUUGAAGUCCCGAUUCUAAGCCGUAAAGCAUGGCACACUGAACUAUCGAGUAGUCAUCAGCUUUGCUCUGCCAGACAUUCAUAACAUCUGGUGUUGCUCCAGCAGUAGGCCUAGCACCCAGCGGUGCUUCCAGGACGUAAUUCUUCUGUGCAGCAAUGAGGAUAAUCCUCAAGUUACGGACCCAGUCCGUGUAAUUGCUACCAUCAUCUUUCAACUUUGCUUUCUCAAGGAACGCAUUAAAAUUCAACGGAACAACAGCACGGGCCAUCUAUCUACAAUCAAACAUAAACAAGCAAGAUACUAUCAGGUACUAAGUUCACGAUAAAUUUAAGUUCAAUUAAUCAUAUUACUUAAGAACUCCCACUUAGAAAGACAUCCCUCUAAUCUUCUAAGUGAUCACGUGAUCCAAAUCAACUAAACCAUAAUCGAUCAUCACGUGAAAUGGAGUAGUUUUCAAUGGUGAACAUUGCUAUGUUGAUCAUAUCUAUUAUAUGAUUCACGCUUGACCUUUCGGUCUCAGUGUUCCGAGGCCAUAUCUGCAUAUGCUAGGCUCGUCAAGUUUAACCUGAGUAUUCCGCGUGUGCAAAAACUGGCUUGCACCCGUUGUAGAUGGACGUAGAGCUUAUCACACCCGAUCAUCACGUGGUGUCUGGGCACGACGAACUUUGGCAAUGGUGCAUACUCAGGGAGAACACUUCUUUAUAAUUAGUGAGAGAUCAUCUUAUAAUGCUACCGUCAAGCAAAGCAAGAUAAGAUGCAUAAAAGAUAAACAUCACAUGCAAUCAAUAUAAGUGAUAUGAUAUGGCCAUCAUCUUCUUGUACUUGUGAUCUCCAUCUCUGAAGUACCGUCAUGAUCACCAUCGUCACCGGCAUGACACCUUGAUCACCAUCGUAGCAUCAUUGUCGUCUCGCCAAUCUUAUGCUUCCACGACUAUCGCUACCGCUUAGUGAUAAAGUAAAGCAUUACAGCGCGAUUGCAUUGCAUACAAUAAAGCGACAACCAUAUGGCUCCUGCCAGUUGCCGAUAACUCGGUUACAAAACAUGAUCAUCUCAUACAAUAAAAUUUAGCAUCAUGUCUUGACCAUAUCACAUCACAACAUGCCCUGCAAAAACAAGUUAGACGUCCUCUACUUUGUUUGUUGCAAGUUUUACGUGGCUGCUACGGGCUUAAGCAAGAAUCAAUCUUACCUACGUAUCAAAACCACAACGAUAGUUUGUCAAGUUGGUGUUGUUUUAACCUUCGCAAGGACCGGGCGUAGCCACACUCGGUUCAACUAAAGUUGGAGAAACUGACACCCGCCAGCCACCUGUGUGCAAAGCACGUCGGUAGAACCAGUCUCGUGUAAGCGUACGCGUAAUGUCGGUCCGGGCCGCUUCAUCCAACAAUACCGCCGAACCAAAGGAUGACAUGCUGGUAAGCAGUAUGACUUAUAUCGCCCACAACUCACUUGUGUUCUACUCGUGCAUAUAACAUCAACACAUAAAACCUAGGCUCGGAUGCCACUGUUGGGGAACGUAGUAAUUUCAAAAAAAAAUCCUACGCACACUCAAGAGCAUGGUGAUGCAUAGCAAUGAGAGGGGAGAGUGUUGUCCAUGUACCCUCGUAGACCAAAAGCGGAAGCGUUAUAACAACGCGGUUGAUGUAGUCGUACGUCUUCACGGCCCGACCGAUCAAGCACCGAAACUACGGCACCUCCGAGUUCUAGCACACGUUCAGCUCGAUGACGAUCCCCGGACUCCGAUCCAGCAAAGUGUCGGGGAAGAGUUCCGUCAGCACGACGGCGUGGUGACGAUCUUGAUGUUCUACCGUCGCAGGGCUUCGCCUAAGCACCGCUACAAUAUUAUCGAGGAUUAUGGUGGAGGGGGGCACCGCACAUGGCUAAGAGAUCUCAAGGAUCAAUUGUUGUGUCUAGAGGUGCCCCUGCCCCCGUAUAUAAAGGAGCAAGGGGGAGGGGCGGCCGGCCAUGAUGAGGCGCGCCAGGGAGGAGUCCUACUCCUACCGGGAGUAGGACUCCCUCCUUUUCCUUGUCCAAGUAGGAGAGGGGGAAGGAAGGGAGAGAGGAGAGGAAGGAAAGGGGGGUGCCGCCCCUCCCUCCUUGUCCAAUUCGUACUAGGGGUGUCGGGUGGUAGGUGCGACAUAUGCCAACGGGUGGCUUAUCAUUGUGGGAGCCAGUAAGACGUCGCCGGUGCCUGGAAGCGAGAUGAGGCGAAGACAUGCACGCCGGCGAAUCUUACCCAGCUUCGGGGCUCUACGUGGAGAUAACACCCCUACUGCUGCUUUGCGGGGUCUCCGCAUGAUCACUAGAGGAACAAGUAGCUACACGAUGCUCCUUGAGCUGUCUGGCGAGAGUAGGAAGAAGGGCUCGGCUCGCUCUCUUCUCCUCCCUAUAUGGUGUCUAAAACUAGCAUGGAUCCCCCUUGCAUGGGUGUCCCGGUGGGUUUAUAUAGGCCUACCCCCCGGGGGUACAAUGGUAAUCUGGCUGGGCGUGGGGCCCAGCCAUCUGUGUCUUUACUCGCCGGCUUCUGCGCUGGCUGGUAGGGCUCGCCGGCUGGUGGGUCCCACCGGCUGCCGGCUCCUGGGUUGACAGGCAGGCCCCACUGUCCAGGGCCUUGUUGGUGGCUGGUUACUGUCGCUCAAUCCUGGUGACGAGGGCUUCGCCGAGGUGGGCGUGGCUACAGUGCCGCCGUCCGGCGGGUGAUCGCUGUAGCCUCACCGCGUCUUGUCUCCUUAAUGGGGCGUCUCCUUCGAGGGAGGUGGCAAGCCGGCUGUGGAGAGCCGGCUCUGUCUUGGACCGACUGGGGGGGGCUUGGCUGCCUUCGGGUGUCUCUUUGCCCGAAGGGGCCCACCGCCCGUGGGCUGCCCUGGCAGCCUGUCGUGGAUGGCAUCAGGGUCAAUGUGGCAACAAUGCCGCGCCGGACGGGUCAUGGCCACCCGUACGGCGCACUGUGCCACGCAUGCUCCGGGAUUCGGGGGUGGCAGGCUUUACUGUAGCCACGCCCCGUCACAUCGCUGUUAUGUGGAUGCAGACUUCGAGGGUACGAUCUUGACCGCUUUGUGGGAGCCGGCUUCUUGGAGUCGGCCUUCUUGCGGCCGGCUUCUCGGAGCCAGCCCUCCCGUGGCUUUCUUCAUGAGGGCUGAAGUCGGGCCGCCUUCCGAUAGUCGGCCUGGGAGACAGCCGACAAGGGGAAGGCGGCCCCAUGUCUUGGAUUCUAGAGGGCCGGAUCGGCUCAUAAUUUUUUCAGAAGGGCCAGGGGGAGCCGGCUAUGCUACCCGUUGUCAUUUACUCCGACAGUAGUCCCCGAAGCUGAUCGAGCUUCGAGGCUGACAAAGGGACGAGAAGCUUGGUAAGCUUCCUAUCCUGAGGGGCCGGCUUUGCUUGUGCGCACCGUCUUCGGAGAGCUCCGUUUCUCGUAGGCGGGAAUGCGGGUCGGCCUGCGAUCUGACCAUGCGCCAUCCCACGGGCCACGUGGCAAGGAAAUCCUGCCAACGCACACGCGCGACGGGAUGCUGCCGCAGGCCCGGGCCCGUCGCCCCUAGGCCUCGGCCCGAGCGCGGAUCUUCUGCGGCCCACGCGGACCGCUCGCCUUCCCGCGGCGGUUUUAUUACGCCAUCAAGGCUCUAUAAUCGCAGGACGUGGGGGAGUGGGCGCAGUUGAUCCCACGUUCCCCCACACCACGCCUCCUCGGCUCUGCCGUGCGGGUCUAUAAGUAGGGGGAGGAGGGGGAGCGCCAGAGGCUCGCACGCUCUCCCUCGCUCCGCCCCUUCUCGCCUUCCUUCUUCUUCCCUUCGCCGCCGCAGCAACCCAUUGCCGUGUCGUUCCGCCGUCGGGCCUCUCGGUUCUUUUGGUCCCGCCGUAGCGGGGUCGUGCGCCUCUCCGCCGUCGCAUCGUCUUGCUCCUCGCUGCGUCGCUCCCAUGGCGUUGUCGAGCUCGUGGGAUGGCUCCAACGUCCACGAGGACCAUGUCGAGUUCCUCCGCCGGACGCGGCGCCUGCCGGGCGAGAACUUCGUGCGGGUUUGUUAGGCGCCAGCGAGGGAGAUCUCGCCGGCGCUGGAGGAGGGCGAGCAGGUGAUCUUCCGCUCGCACUGCCUGCGCGGCUUUGGCCUCCCGGCGAGCGGAUUCCUUCGAGCUUUCCUUGAAUUCUACCACCUCCAGCCGCAUCACCUCACGCCCAACGCGGUGAUGCUGCUGUCGGCUUUCGUCACCCUGUGCGAGGGCUUUCUUGGGGUUCUCCCCACUCUCGAGCUCUAGGGGGAAUUCUUCCAGAGCAAGCUCGGCACCGUCGUCACAGGCAUGCCCGCCCCCUGCGGAGCCUUCAUUGCCAUGAGGCGGACGGGCGAGAACAAUCCGUUCCCACCCAUCCCGCUGAUCCAGUCGGUGAAGCUCUGGCAGAAGUCGUACUUUUACGUGAAGAACGUCGCCCAGCAAGGCGACUACAUCAACCUGCCGGCUUACGUAGCCGGCCCGCCGGCUGGGAGGCAACCUUCAUGGAGCUACCGGGCCAGGUCGUUGUCUCAGGCCGGGAACACAGCCGUCUCCCGGCUCCGGGUGAUGAUCCAGUCGGAGGGCCUGAUCGGAGCCGACUUGGUGGCCGAGCACCGACUACUUCCGCUCCAAGGCCGGCCUCACAUGAUUUGCCAGAUGAGCGGCCGCUUCGACCCGUGCCGGCUGAGCACCAGGGAGAUGCCUCAUGCAGAGGUGUCUUACAUGGUGAACUACAUCUCCAACUGCAAGCUCGCCGAGGAUUGGCGAUACGGCAAGGGGUCGUAUUACCGUGCCAACCCUCCGCCUGCCGUAAGUUUUCUUCUUUUCUUCCUUUUUGUAGCCGGCCUCAUGAUAGCCGACCUCUGAUCAGUUGGUUUGCCCUUAGCAGAAUCCUCUUCUUCCGCCGACGGUCGGGGCCGCAGGGGUAGAGCGCCAGCUCCGCCCCGACCGCACGGUGGACGACACCGAUGACCCGGACCUGGGAGCGACCGCCAUGGAAGAUGCCAUCAUGGGGUAAGGCGACGAGGCAGGAGGCGCGGGGCUCGGGGCCGGCUUCGAGGACUGGCCGGACGACGUCGAGGUCGAAGCCGCCCCGCAUUGCCAGCCGGCGCUUGAUCAUCAAGGCGCGGGCUCGUCUGCCGCGCCGGCUGCCCGUGGUGGCGCGCAGAAGCGUCGGGCCGCGUCGACCUUCUUCGGCAGCCAGCCGAAGAAAUCCAUGGCUUCCACGGCGGCGACCAAGCGGGAUGAUGCGGCCGCGAAGGCGGCCCGCUUCCGCAAGGCGGUGAAACAGCCGCAGGCGAUCUCGGCGUAAGUCGUCGAAUGUCUUGUAUAUUUUAUAUAUUUUUUUUGUUGUCCUUUUCGAUUGAAGCCCUUCUAAACCUUUCUUUGCUCGCCGGACAGGGCACCGCUUUCCCUUGAGCGAGGUCCUGGCAGCUCCAUAGUCGGGCCGACUGGAGGGUCCUCAGGCUCCCGUCGCGUGGAUCCCCGUGCCGACCUUAGGGAGGCCAAGGAGCGGAACGCACGAGAGGCGCGAGAGGAGUGGGAGGCGGCGGAGCGAAGGACCGCCCAGGCGGCGAAGGAGCAGGCCGAUGCAGCGGCCAAGGCCUGGGCAGAGGCGGCAGCCGUGGAGACGGAUGCGGAGGCCUCGCACAACUAGCCUCCGCUGCUCGUCGUUCCCCUCCGCGCCGUGGCCCCCGACAUCCCCGUGCCCCUGUCGGAGGAGGUCGACCAAGACCCGCCAGUGAUGGAGAGGAGAGAGGACCACGUUGUCUCCGUGGAAGGGGCGCCGCAGACGGUGCCGACUGGAGCGGGCCAAAGCGGCCAAUCAGCCGCGGUGCCAGAGCAGCCGGCCGGGGGCGAGCCGGAGGCAGGAGCCGGCCUCGAGGUACAGCCGGCAUUGCUCCGGCGCGCAGGGGGAGGCAUGUCACACCCUCGAUGCGGCUAUAUCUCCCACGUGUCGAAGCACGACUUAGAGGCAUAACCGCAUUGAAAGCAAUGUCGCAAGUGAGGUAAUCUUCACACAACCCAUGUAAUACAUAAGGGAAAGAGAUACAUAGUUGGCUUACAAUCGCCACUUCACACAAGUACAUGAGUAAAACAUUACAUCAUCCAAAUACACUCAUAGUCCGACUACGGCACCAAAAUAAAAGAAGAACCCCAAAAGCGACAAAGGUCCCCGAUCGACCCCAACUGGGCUCCACUACUGAUCUACUAGAACGGAACAACACAAAGGACAAGAUCUUCAUCGAGCUCCUCCUGAGCUGGGUUGCGUCAUCUGUACGGACUCAUCGACACCUGCAAGAUGGUUUUGGAAGUAUCUGUGAGUCACGGGGACUCAGCAAUCUCGCACCCUCGCGAUCAAGACUAUUUAAGCUUAUGGGUAAGGUAAAGGUAUGAGGUGGAGCUGCAGCAAGCGACUAGCAUAUAUGGUGGCUAACAUACGCAACUGAGAGCGAGAAGAGAAAGCAAAGCACGGUCGAUAAAAGUAUGAUCAAGAAGUGAUCCUAAAACAACCUACGUCAAGUAUAACUCCAACAACCGUGUUCACUUCCCGGACUCCGCCGAAAAGAGACCAUCACGGUUACACACGCGGUUAAUUCAUUUUAAUUAAGGUCAACUUCAGGUUUUCUACAACUGGACUUUAACAAAUUCCCAUCUGCCCAUAACCGCGGGCACGACUUUCGAAAGUUCAAAUCCCUGCACGGGUGUCCCAACUUAGCCCAUCACAAGCUCUCACGGUCAACGAAGGAAUAGACCUCCUCCCGAGACAUUCCGAUCAGACCCGGUAUCCCGGUUCUACAAGACAUUUCGACAGGGUAAAACUAAACCAGCAACACCACCCAGAUGUGCCGACAAAUCCCGAUAGGAGCUGCACAUAUCUCGUUCUCAGGGCACACCGGAUGAGCAAGACAUUGGGUAAGCCAGCCCAGAGUUGCCCCUGGUAGCCUCGGACAUCGUUCAGUUGGACCAACACUCAGAGGAGCACUGGCCCGGGGGGGUAAAAUAAUGAUGACCCUCAAGAGCGCAACUCCCAAGGGAAAAGAAAAGGUUAGGUGGCGAAUGGUAAAACCAAUGUUGGACAUUGCUGGAAGAGCUUUACUUAAGGCGAACUGUCAAGGGGUUCCCAUAAUUACCCAACCGCGUAAGGAACGCAAAAUCCGGGAACAUAACACGGAUAUGACGGAAACUAGGGCGGCAAGAGUGGAACAAAACACCAGGCAUAAGGCCGAGCCUUCCACCCUUUACCAAGUAUAUAGAUGCAUUAAUUAAAUAAGACAUAUAGUGAUAUCCCAACAAGUAAACAUGUUCCAACAAGGAACAACAUCUCCAUGUUCCAACAGGGAACAAACUUCAAUCUUCACCUGCAACUAACAACGCUAUAAGAGGGGCUGAGCAAAGCGGUAACAUAGCCAAACAACAGUUUGCUAGGACAAGGUGGGUUAGAGGCUUGGUUCAACAAUGUGGAAGGCAUGAUAAGCAAGUGGUAGGUAUCGCGGCAUAGGCAGAGCAAAAGAGCGAGCAACUAGCAAGCAAAGAUAGAAGUGAUUUCGAGGGUAUGGUCAUCUUGCCUGAGAUCCCGCAAGGAAGAAGAGCGAGUCCAUGAAGAAGACAAACGGACGUAGACGAACGGGUCCUCACAAACGCUACGUUAUCGAAACCAACCCGAAGAAGCAACACCGGAAAGAAGCACACAACAUAGUAAACAACCAACACAUAACAUGGCAUGAUGCGCAAACAGGUAUGAUGCAUGUCCGGUUAAAAUAUGCAUGGCAUGGCAAAGUGCAACAAACAACACUACAAGUUAAGUGGAGCACAAUAUGCAACGGAGUUGUAUAUUGAAGAAAACACCACAUGACUUAUUUAGUUCUCUCUCGGUUAUGUACCCAACAAUAUUAAAUGUUGUUAAGCAUGUCAAGAGGUGAAACAUAAAGGGAUUAUCUAUCUAAACAAUUUAAAUGGGGCCGGAUAUAGCAAACAACAAAUCCGGUAAAUCCCCAUAUGCAUUAGUAAUUUGAUGCAACAACAAUUUAAGCCAUCUUAAUGUUGUUAACAUGAUGCGGAUGACAUGCUCAAGUUUUAUGCAAUUUUAAGAAAAGUUGACAAGAGCAUAUUAAGAAGCAUUUGGUCGCCAUGGAGGAACAAAAGGGGUGUCACGACAACUCAUUGAGAUGUCGGUGCAAGAGAAAAUGUGGAUGAACGGAUCAUGCGAGGAUGGUGGGGUGAUCCCGGAUACCGGUUUUCCCAUGGGUCGACGGCAUGGCAACCGAGGAGGAAUGACUAACGUACACGGGCGAAAACAACAACUAAACAUGCAUCUUAUACACACAUGCUUUCGUCCACGGGUCAUUGUCUCGGCGGUUAUACCUUCCAGGUGCAUUCUCGGAGCGGUUCGGGUUUGUAGAGGAAGUAGAGGAAGUAGUCGUCCACGGCGACGGUCGUUGUACACGGGCCUUCAGCCACGAAAGUAGUCGUACAACAUUUUCAUAGAGGGACUUGACGAAUACGAGUAACUUGGGUUCAAGGGUGGUCGUUCACAUCCAUAGUCACACAAGGUUCCGUAAAUGUUCGGGGUCUCGGCGAGGAACUCGGCGUUUCGGUGCGAUGUAGGGGUACAAGUCGAAGGUCGUCGUGGUACUUGGGUCUUGGCGGUUCGUCGUGUAGUCGUACAUGCAUCGUAGAGGAACUUGGUCUUGCGAAGAGGUACUUGACGGUAGUGGUACUUGACGCGUUCGAGGGUCGUUCAUGUCACGGUACUUGGCAAAAUCCUUGGAGAAGGUGCUUGCCGGUCCGGGUAGGGUUCUUGGGUUCUUGGUGUCUCAUCCUUGCUUAUCCAAAACACACACGAGACGGAAGGCCUCUAGUGGGCAGCAGCAAGGCAGGGACGGGAGGAUCCGACCCAACGCGACUGGAUCUGGUGAUCUCUGGUGACGAACGUAGCAGGACGGCGACAUGAUGCUUGACAGCAAGGACCUGAAGCGAGGAGGAGGCCACGGCAAGAGGUCGGCGACAUGGUGGAGCAAGGUAGGGGCUCCGGUCCACUUCUGUUGUUGACGCCGGCACCGUAGAUGAGGCAGGGAGACAGCGCGGUGCUCUUGGGGUCCCCUGCCCGCGAGCACAUGGGUGCACGGGGCUGGUCCUCGAGCAGAACGCCGGCGAGGAGGAAAGGUGCGAGGGAGAUGACUGCAGAUCGACGGAACUUGGCGCCUCGAUGGAAAGCAACAGCAGCGAGCGGCUCCAGGAGAGGGACUGCUCGGCAAAGGUCAUGGAGGCAGGGUCGGCCGGAGCUUCGAGCUCGGUGGCCUUGGCAGGACGACGAGGAGGCCGGAGGAGGAGGGCCAUGGAGGAGGCGCAGGAGUCUUGCCAGCGAGGAGAAGCAGAGGCUUCAAGGCGGCGGAGGUAGCGGACAGAGGGACCGGGCGUGGGGGUGCGUGGCCAUGGGGAUCGGGCUCCGUCUUCUGUGCAUGGUGACGGCCUGAGGGAAGAGACGAGGGAAAGAGGAGGGAUCAAGAGCGGGCGCUCUGUCCCUGGCGGCGCGAGAGGGACCGGGGGAAGGGAGCGAGAUGGCGUAGGGCUAGGGUUAGCGAGGGGAGAGGCUGGGCCUUAGAGGCUGUGCUGGAAGAAAGGGCCGGCCGGCGGCUGGUUGGGCCUAGGGAUGGCCCUAGAGGCUGGCCUGCUGGUCUCUCUCCUCUCUCUCCUAUUUCCUUUUCUUUAAAAAAUAGAGAAAUAAAGAGAAAGGAAAAGAGAUAAAAGAAGGUUAGAGGAAGAAUUUGGGCAUGCGAAUAAUAUUCCCGGACUCGCAAAAAUGCGCAUGUUCCAAGAAAAAUGGAGUGGGCAUUUUUGAAAGUUUUAAAUUCAAACUCAUUUGAUUUAAAAUCAAAUGGUUUGAAUAGGAAGUGAGGGUUAGGAAGGUUCAAAAAUGUUCGGAUUUUUGGAGGAGCCCCGGGAAAGAGAUGAAAGAAAUUAUGGACAAAGUUUGGGGACCAAACUUGAAGCGAGAAAAGGCAUGUGAUUAUUUGCAAGUGUGUUAUGGGUGAUUCCAAAAGAAUGGAAAUAUUUAUAAUAGCUCCAUAAAUAUUAGGAGGAUAAUGUUAUAAAGAGAAGUCACCCUUCCCUCGAUUUAAAUGGAUCGAAGAUCCACACAAAUUAUUUAGUGGGUUUUAAGACGGGUUGCAUAUGACAUGAUGACAUGAUGCAAGGCACAUGAUGCAAAGGGGAAAGCAGCAAGCAAACAAAACACCCAACGAAACCCAGAAUCCAUGGAUGGCAUCUGAAUCUCCGGUCUUGGGGUGUUACAACACUCCACCACUACGAGAGGAUCUCGUCCCGAGAUCUAGAAUGGCACCGGAGGAACAACGGAAGAGAAAGAUAAGAGGUAAAACUAAGUUGCUCCUUUGCCAAACGAGUGAAACCAAAGAACCCUGAAAAAAGGUUAAGCCAUAUCCAGAACAGAAUACAACGGAGAUGACGAAGCUGAGAACACUCCGUUAGAAAAGAGGAACAAGGAAGAACAACUUCGGGCAGCACUCCGAUUGAAAAGAAAAGGAAUUGAAUAAGAACUUGGUAAGGUGACAGAACUUGAAAAGAGGGCACGACACUCCGGUUAAAUGGACAAUCAUGAAAAAAACAUGAUCUUUGACAAACGAGAUGAUGGGUUGAGAAGAUCAACAUCACAAUGCCUCUGGAACAGAAAAAAGAAUGGAAUGGAAUGAACGACGAGAAACAAGAUCUUGAGGGAGCAUGCUUACAACAAAUGGUAGAAUGGAGUUGUUGGAAAACCAACAACGAAAAGAAUAAGCUUUAUAUGGUCUUAUGGGAUACAUCUCAAAUCAUGAGGUGACCACCUGCCACUCACGGGAAAAGAAUAGGAUUGAUAUGAACGAGGAGACGAGAAAACCAAUUUCACCGGGAGGAUAAAUGAAGAACUUGGGUCAUUGGUAAGCACCGUAAAUAGCAACAAUCCUUAGGGAAGGUUUUAGGUGAAUAUAACCCAAGGUAACUUCAAUGACGAGAUUGAUGGAUUUAAAAUAUCUCAUUCAUGACAACAUGUGAAUCAUGAAAACAUGAACUCAAAUUAUCAAGAAUGACAUAAUACCACCUCAAACGAUACGGUUGAAAGAAUUGCAUUUCAAAAUGCCAGAUAAAGAAUGCUUGAGUUCCUCUGAAAAGAAUCUCAAUGACCACUUUGAGAAGGGAUUAAAUCCUUGAUGAACCAUCAUGUAGAACCUCCAUGAAGAACUCUGGUAAUAAAAGAAUGAUCCAAAAUAAUUGACUGAUGAAAAGAAUAAGAUUGAAGCCUCGCAAUUAUUUAGAUAGAGAUCUCCAUGAUAAUAUAAUUGAAAGAAGGUUGGAACUCCGGGAAAAGAUAAGAUGAGCAAUUGACAACGAGAAUUAGUUAUUGUGAACAAACUCCGGAGGAACGAAUCCAUCAUUUAGGUGAAGCAAGAAUAAGAAUUAUGUUAUGCGUAUCCUCCACCAAUACAAAUUGAUGACAACCAAAGGAAUUGGCAUACUACUUAUUCUCAUAGAAAGGAUUAAGAUAGAUAAUGCGCAAACUUGAAGAGGCCUUCGAUGAACCACCGGUAGGAUUUGAAAGAACGGAAGUAUGAUAAUAUAAGAAGAGGAAUCUUGAACAAACCACCGUAAGAACUGAAAAUGAAUUAAGAGAAGAUAAAGAAACACCGGGAAGAAUAGUGAAAUGAACAAAGAUACUAGAGACAAUCUAGAUACAUAAGAACGAAUAAAUCACGAGGUGAUAAGAGAAUACUUAAGUGAUGCACCGGUAUUGAAGAAUGAUAACUGACAACUGAGAAUGAAUAAACCUGAAUUGAUGGACACCGGAUAAUCAAACCGAGAAGACUCUUGAAUUGCUCCGGAUAGGUGAAAAGAAUUCUCACAAUCAAACAAUUAUGAGAGGAUGGCCGAGAAUGGGGCAAGAUAUGGAGGAAAACUCUUCUUCGGUCUUCAAAUGAUGAGAAUGGCAACAAGAAGCACCACCAAGAAUUAUUGAGGCACACCUGAAUGAAGAAUGGAAAAGUUGAGCCAACGAUGAAAAGAAUUUGAAAGAACUUGGAGAAAGGCAAUUGACUGAUGAUAAAUCAUUCUUACGUCAAACUUCGAAAACAAGAUUUGAGGAUAGCUCCGGGAAAAUAAGAAGAGUCAUUUAAGAUCCUGGGAAAAGACCUGUGGGUUAGGGCCCACUGAAAAGAAACACCGUUGAACGAUUUAAGAGAGAAAACACCGGUUGAAUUAAAUGGCUUGAAUGAGAUAACAACCUCGAAAGAUAUUGAAUGAAUGCAGAGUGGAAAACACGAAUCUUCUGAGAUAUCUUCAGCACUCCUGAACAAAUGAAUAGCGAGAAGUGAAUGAUUAAGAGGUACGCCGGCAAGAGAAGACAUUUAAAAUACGGAAAAGAAUAUGAUCAACAUCGAAAGCUUGAAUUGGUUCCACCGGAGAAGAAAAUGAGUGAAGAGUGACGAACUUGAAUCUCUGUUAGAAUCUUCAGGAGAAUCACCGGAUAAGGAUAUUGAUUGAAAAGAAUGGAGAGACUUCACAUCAGUAAAAUGGAUAGUUGAUUAAGAAAUUCGAGUCCUCGAAGAAAAAGGGUGGGUGGGCGGGAAAACAAAGGCAACUUGGGGACGGAUGAAACAAACACCGUUUAGAAGAAACAGAUACUUGAUCUUGUGGAUGUUGAAAUGAUCGGAUCCACUUGAAGAGAAACACACCGGUGAAAAGAAAUUGAAAUGACAAACUCGAUGAUCGAGAAGGAUUAGUAUUCACAUAGGAGUAUGAGAACACCAUUUAGGAAAAGGUAUGGAAUCAACAUUUGACAUUGAAGUAACUCGAAUACCACAACUCAAAACAAAAACAAAGGAUUGGCUUGCAGAAUAAGCCAGAACAAACAUAUGAUAUAGAUUUCGUCCGAAGUUUUCGUGGUGGGGCCUACACGGGCUCGAUCGUACAGCACCAUCAUGUACAAGGCAGUGCACAUGACAUACGAAGCAUCCCCGAGUCGGCAUAGCCAAGGACUCUUUAAGACACAACGAGACCACUGUAAAAUCGACCGUGAAUAGGCGGACCACUAGACGUCGAACCCCAAUUUCAUAUCAUACAUCUGUUGGAAAGAUAUCCUAAGAGCUACUUGAAUUCUCACUUAUGAAACUCCCGAACCUUUCUGGUUAUGCAAUCAGGUGUUGGGGAUACAGGGGAAGCAUAAUAUCUCACCCAAAACUAGCAAAUCCUACAUCCAGUUGUAUCCAUCCUUCAACACAUAACCAAGAAACCUUCAGAAAUCAUCUACCUCAACCUUCGAAAAGCAUCCGUUAUACAAGUUAUGGCAAUACUCCCGAACUCCCGCCCCAGUACUGGGUGGCGUCGAGGUUAUCUCACCAACGAACUGCAUAAAAGAGAUUUUCGAUGUCGGCGUACUAAACUCAGGUAUUCCAGAACUGCAACGAUAAAAUUAUGACGACAACACCUCGGAGCUCAACUCCCCGGGACACUUCCACAAAACCCCUGACAGGAGGCACCAAGACAAUGUUCUCGUCACAAAACCAUCGGAACGAUUCCAAGAUACCUGCGUGAUCCUAAAAAAUAUUUUUUAGUGAAAUUUGAGAAGAGAAGAGUCAAAACUCUAUGUCAGGAUGCCUUACCAGAGCGAUGAGGAGACUGGGAAGUAAAAAGAAUUCCUAAACUCUCCGAUAUAUAAUUCCUAAAUGACUCAAAACAUUUUUCUAGACACAACUCGGCCGCUAAAAAUGAUCAAGCAAUGGGGCUCCUAAGGUCGGGGAAGGCUCUGAUUACCAACUUGUCACGCCCUCGAUACGGCUAUAUCUCCCACGUGUCGAAGCACGACUUAGAGGCAUAACCGCAUUGAAAGCAAUGUCGCAAGUGAGGUAAUCUUCACACAACCCAUGUAAUACAUAAGGGAAAGAGAUACAUAGUUGGCUUACAAUCGCCACUUCACACAAGUACAUGAAUAAAACAUUACAUCAUCCAAAUACACUCAUGGUCCGACUACGGCACCAAAAUAAAAGAAGAACCCCAAAAGCCAAAGGUCCCCGAUCGACCCCAACUGGGCUCCACUACUAAUCUACUAGAACGGAACAACACAAAGGACAAGAUCUUCAUCGAGCUCCUCCUGAGCUAGGUUGCGUCAUCUAUACGGACUCAUCGGCACUUGCAAGCUGGUUUUGGAAGUAUUUGUGAGUCACGGGGACUCAACAAUCUCGCACCCUCGCGAUCAAGACUAUUUAAGCUUAUGGGUAAGGUAAAGGUAUGAGGUGGAGCUGCAGCAAGCGACUAGCAUAUAUGGUGGCUAACAUACGCAAAUGAGAGCGAGAAGAGAAAGCAAAGCACGGUCGAUAAAAGUAUGAUCAAGAAGUGAUCCUAAAACAACCUACGUCAAGUAUAACUCCAACAACCGUGUUCACUUCCCGGACUCCGCCGGAAAGAGACCAUCACGGUUACACACGCGGUUGACUCAUUUUAAUUAAGGUCAACUUCAGGUUUUCUACAACCGGACGUUAACAAAUUCCCAUCUGCCCAUAAUCAUGGGCAUGGCUUUCGAAAGUUCAAAUCCCUGCAGGGGUGUCCCAACUUAGUGUUGGAAAUAUGCCCUAGAGGCAAUAAUAAAAGUAUUAUUAUUAUAUUUCUUUGUUCAUGAUAAUAGUAUUUUAUUCAUGCUAUAACUGUAUUAUCCGGAAAUCGUAAUACACGUGUGAAUACAUAGACCACAAUAUGUCCCUAGUGAGCCUCUAGUUGACUAGCUCGUUGUGAUCAACAGAUAGUCAUGGUUUCCUGGCUAUGGACAUUGGAUGUUGUUGAUAACGGGAUCACAUCAUUAGGAGAAUGAUGUGAUGGACAAGACCCAAUCCUAAGCAUAGCACAAAGGUCGGUUAGUUCGUUUGCUAGAGCUUUUCCAAUGUCAAGUAUCUCUUCCUUCGACCAUGAGAUCGUGUAACUCCCGGAUACCGUAGGAGUGCUUUGGGUGUACCAAACGUCACAACGUAACUGGGUGAUUAUAAAGGUGCAUUACAGGUAUCUCUGAAAGUGUCUGUUGGGUUGACACGGAUCGAGACUGGGAUUUGUCACUCCGUAUGACGGAGAGGUAUCUCUGGGCCCACUCGGUAAUGCAUCAUCAUAAUGAGCUCAAGGUGACCAAGUGUCUGGUCACGGGAUCAUGCAUUACGGUACGAGUAAAAUGACUUGCCGGUAACGAGACUGAACAAGGUAUUGGGAUACCGACGAUCGGGUCUCGGGCAAGUAACAUACCGAUUGACAAAGGGAAUUGUAUACGGGGUUUGAUCGAAUCCUCAACAUCGUGGUUCAUCCGAUGACAUCAUCGAGGAGCAUGUGGGAGCCAACAUGGGUAUCCAGAUCCCGUUGUUGGUUAUUGACCGGAGAGUCUCGGUCAUGUCUGCAUGUCUCCCGAACCCGUAGGGUCUACACACUUAAGGUUCGGUGACGCUAGGGUUAUCAGGAAGACAAGUAUCUGAUUACUGAAUGUUGUUCGGAGUCCCGGAUGGGAUCCCGGACGUCACGAGGAGUCCUGGAAUGGUCCGGAGGUAAAGUUUUAUAUAUGGGAAGUUGUUAAACGGGCACCGGAAAGUUUCGGGGUCAUACCGGUAUUGUACCGGGACCACCGGAAAGGUUCCGGGGGUCCAUCGGGAGGGACCCCCCUUCCCGGGGGGGCACUUGGGCUGCGUAGGGAUAGCAGCCAGCCCCUAGUGGGCUUGGCGCCCCCCCCCCUUGGGCCCAUGCGCCUAGGAUUGGGGGGGAAACCCUAAAGGGGGCGCACCCCCUUGCUUGGGGGGCAAGCCCCCCACCCUUUGGCCGCCGCCCCCCUCUAGGGUUUCCCCUAGAGGGCCGGCCCCCUUGCCCCUCUCCUCCUAUAUAUAGAGGGGUGAGGGGAGGGCUGCAAGACCACAACUCAAGGCGCAGCCCCUCCCCUCCCCAACACCUCUCCUCCUCCGUACGUGCUCGGCGAAGCUCUGUCGGAAUACUGCUGCACCAACUGCACCACGCCGUCGUGCUGCCCUUGGAGCUGCCUUCCUCAACCUAUCCUUCCUCCUUGCUGGAUCAAGACGGAGGAGACGUCCAUCGUCCCGUACGUGUGUUGAACGCGGAGGUGCUGUCCGUUCAGCACUUGGUCAUCGGUGAUCCGAAUCACGACGAGUACGACUCCAUCAUCACCAUCCCCUUGAACGCUUCCGCACUAGAUCUACAAGUGGUAUGUAGAUGCAAACUCUUCCCCUUGACUCGUUGCUUAGAUGAACUCAUAGAUGGAUCUUGGUGAAACCGUAGGAAAAAUUUUAAUUUUCUGCAACGUUCCCCAACACUUAGCCCAUCACAAGCUCUCACGGUCAAUGAAGGGAUAUACCUCCUCCCGAGACAUUCCGAUCAGACCCGGUAUCCCGGUUCUACAAGACAUUUCGACAGGGUAAAACUAAACCAGCAACACCACCCAGAUGUGCCGACAAAUCCCGAUAGGAGCUGCACAUAUCUCAUUCUCAGGGCACACCGGAUGAGCAAGAUGUCGGGUAAGCCAGCCCAGAGUUGCCCCUGGUAGCCUCGGACAUCGCUCAGUUGGACCAACACUCAUAGGAGCACUGGCCCGGGGGGGGGGGUAAAAUAAUGAUGACCCUCAGGAGCGUGACUCCCAAGGGAAAACAAAAGGCUAGGUGGCGAAUGGUAAAACCAAUGUUGGGCAUUGCUGGAAGAGCUUUACUUAAGGCGAACUAUCAAGGGGUUCCCAUAAUUACCCAACCGUGUAAGGAACGCAAAAUCCGGGAACAUAACACCGAUAUGACGGAAACUAGGGCGGCAAGAGUGGAACAAAACACCAGGCAUAAGGCCGAGCCUUCCACCCUUUACCAAGUAUAUAGAUGCAUUAAUUAAAUAAGACAUAUAGUGAUAUCCCAACAAGUAAACAUGUUCCAACAAGGAACAACAUCUCCAUGUUCCAACAGGGAACAAACUUCAAUCUUCACCUGCAACUAACAACGCUAUAAGAGGGGCUGAGCAAAGCGGUAACAUAGCCAAACAACAGUUUGCUAGGACAAGGUGGGUUAGAGGCUUGGUUCAACAAUGUGGGAGGCAUGAUAAGCAAGUGGUAGGUAUCGCGGCAUAGGCAGAGCAAAAGAGCGAGCAACUAGCAAGCAAAGAUAGAAGUGAUUUCGAGGGUAUGGUCAUCUUGCCUGAGAUCCCGCAAGGAAGAAGAGCGAGUCCAUGAAGAAGACAAACGGACGUAGACGAACGGGUCCUCACAAACGCUACGUUAUCGAAACCAACCCGAAGAAGCAACACCGGAAAGAAGCACACAACAUAGUAAACAACCAACACAUAACAUGGCAUGAUGCGCAAACAUGUAUGAUGCAUGUCCGGUUAAAAUAUGCAUGGCAUGGCAAAGUGCAACAAACAACACUACAAGUUAAGUGGAGCACAAUAUGCAACGGAGUUGUAUAUUGAAGAAAACACCACAUGACUUAUUUAGUUCUCUCUCGGUUAUGUACCCAACAAUAUUAAAUGUUGUUAAGCAUGUCAAGAGGUGAAACAUAAAGGGAUUAUCUAUCUAAACAAUUUAAAUGGGGCCGGAUAUAGCAAACAACAAAUCCGAUAAAUCCCCAUAUGCAUUAGUAAUUUGAUGCAACAACAAUUUAAGCCAUCUUAAUGUUGUUAACAUGAUGCGGAUGACAUGCUCAAGUUUUAUGCAAUUUUAAGAAAAGUUGACAAGAGCAUAUUAAGAAGCAUUUGGUCGCCAUGGAGGAACAAAAGGGGUGUCACGACAACUCAUUGAGAUGUCGGUGCAAGAGAAAAUGUGGAUGAACGGAUCAUGCGAGGAUGGUGGGGUGAUCCCGGAUACCGGUUUUCCCAUGGGUCGACGGCAUGGCAACCGAGGAGGAACGACUAAUGUACACGGGCGAAAACAACAACUAAACAUGCAUCUCAUACACACAUGCUUUCGUCCACGUGUCAUCAUCUCGGUGGUUAUACCUUCCAGGUGCAUUCUUGGAGCGGUUCAGGUUCGUAGAGGAAGUAGAGGAAGUAGUCGUCCACGGCGACGGUCGUUGUACACGGGCCUUCGGCCAUGGAAGUAGUCGUACAUAGUUUUCGUAGAGGGACUUGACGAAUCCGAGUAACUUGGGUUCAAUGGUGGUCAUUCACAUCCAUAGUCACACAAGGUUCCGUAAAUGUUCGGGGUCUCGGCGAGGAACUCGGCGUUUCGAUGCGACGUAGGGGUACAAGUCGAAGGUCGUCGUGGUACUUGGGUCUUGGCGGUUCGUCGUGUAGUCGUACAUGCAUCGUAGAGGAACUUGGUCUUGCGAAGAGGUACUUGACGGUAGUGGUACUUGAUGCGUUCGAGGGUCGUUCAUGUCACGGUACUUGGCAAAAUCCUUGGAGAAGGUGCUUGCCGGUCCGGGUAGGGUUCUUGGGUUCUUGGUGUCUCAUCCUUGCUGAUCCAAAACACACACGAGAAGUGAGGGUUAGGAAGGUUCAAAAAUGUUCGGAUUUUUGGAGGAGCCCCGGGAAAGCGAUGAAAGAAAUUAUGGACAAAGUUUGGGGACCAAACUUGAAGCGAGAAAAGGCAUGUGAUUAUUUGCAAGUGUGUUAUGAGUGGUUCCAAAAGAAUGGAAAUAUUUAUAAUAGCUCCAUAAAUAUUAGGAGGAUAAUGUUAUAAAGAGAAGUCACCCUUCCCUCGAUUUAAAUGGAUCGAAGAUCCACACAAAUUAUUUAGUGGGUUUUAAGACGGGUUGCAUAUGACAUGAUGACAUGAUGCAAAGGGGAAAGCAGCAAGCAAACAAAACACGUGACGAAACCCAGAAUCCAUGGAUGGCAUCUGAAUCUCCGGUCUUGGGGCGUUACAAGGCACCUCCGCGCCGAAGCCGCACCGAGCUGCGGGCGCCAGCCAGACGGCAGAGGCCCUAGAGGCGGCCAGCGCCAGCACGUCCGAGUGGACUCCCAGCGGGGGGACGGGCAGCUGAACACGGCGGCCCAGGAGGUCCGGAACCGGCUUCAAGCCCAAGCCGCCUCGCUGUAGCGAUACACCCAAGAGUUCCUCACAACGCGGGCCAUCAUCCGGGUGAGUCUUCUGGCCUUGGUUGUUUUGCUCUUUUGAUUUCUUCCGUGGGGGCGCGUCAGCGCACCCACUGGGUGUAGUCCCCAAGUUCCGAGUCGGCUGCUGCGCAGGCGGCUUGGAACUUACUAGGUCCUGACAAAUAUCUUAUUCUCGCCUCCUGUCUGAUCUUCCAGGAGUAUCAUAACCUCCGUGCUGCUGCCUUCAACUCCCAGGCUCAGGAGUUGGGCCGGAGAACCGAAGACCUGACCAGCAGCCGGAGUGCGUGCUUUGUUUCGUUCAUCUCCUGUGGGGGCGCGUCAGUGCACCCACUGGGUGUAGUCCCCGAGAUUCGGGACGACUGCUGAGCAGUCGGGUCAGAUCUUCCUUGACGACUUCUUCCUUAUUGAUUUUUCCUUUGUCUUCUUGCAGGAGCCAAUGCCGACUUGAGGGGGUAGCUCAGCGGGGCGCAGGCCGCCCUUCGCGCCAAGAAAGCCGAGUACAACGCCUUGGUCCUAGAGCGUGACCGCCUGGACAAGAAGUUGGCCAACCAGGAGGAGAGCCACAAGGCGGCCCUGAAGAAGGCGCAGGACAGUGAGGACGCCCUGAAGGCCGAGUUCGAGACUGAAGCGGCGGGCUGGGCUGAGACAAAGCAAGCGCUGAGCAAAGGCUUUGGUCGUAUUGAGGAUUUGAUCGAUGGUAAGCCGCCUUCCUCACUUCUUGCUUGCCCCUUGCCCCCUGAUUUGUGUUCUGACUGGUGCUGCUUUUUGUUCUCUAUGCAGACUACUUUCCCGGCUACUCCGUCUUCGCCACCCAAAUCGAGGCCCAUCGCGAAGCGCGCCGGCAGGCGGGGGCUGAAAUCGCGCCGGACGCGAGCUGGACGCUUGAGGAGCAACUCUUGGCGGUCCAAGCCCGGCUGCAGCCGGCUCACCGUAUGCUCCGCCGCCUCCAGCGUGCCGGGGCGCAGGUGUUGGCCGCCCUCUAGCCAGGCGAGACGAUUCCCCACACCCCGAGUCGGACUGCCGACUGGCUGGAGGUUGCGGUUGGCCGCUUCGAGGCCUGGAAAGCAUCGGCAGCCCGGCUUGGAGCUGGGCGGGCGCUGGAGUUCAUCCGAGCCUGGUAUCCGGGGCUGAACCUGGAUCAGCUACGCACCUGGCGGCUGGAGGCCGACGAGGAGAUGGAGGAGGUGCGGCUGGCCAUCGCUCAGCGUGCUUCGACGAUCGCCGAGUGCAUUGACAUCAGCGUCUUCGCUCCUAAAAUAAAUGACGAUGGCGUUGCCCAGCCGGAGGACUGGUUUGGGCUGGACCCGGCAACGGGUGAGGACUCGACAGAGGAGAUUGCCUCCAGUGAUGAAGGCGAAGACGACGAAGGAGAGGAAGGCGAAGACGUUGAGCCGGCCGGUGAAGCGGCCAGCCAGCCUCAGCCUGACCGUGCCUCCAGCAAUGAGGCGCGUGCAAGCGCGCCUUUUGGGGGAGGCGAUGAUCAUGCCGAGGUUCGCCAGCCGGCCACUCCUCCAACUGGCACUGCCGUCUCCACCGACCUGCCCGACUCGCCAGUCGCUCCCCUGGCUUAAUCUGUCAUCCUUGCUUUUCCUGCUUGUUACCCUUUGAACAAUUUUUAUUAAACUUGCGCAGUUCCACCCACUGGGGGUGUAUUCGAACUAUGUUGAAUGCUAGCCUUUUGAAGGUCUUUUGUGUAAAUAUGAUUGUGUGCGUGUUUGGUUUCCAUUCACGUCUGCUUUUUAUCCUUAGGUUGUUUCCUUUGCCGCCUUCCCCUUUUGGGGAGGCAAGUACUCGAGCUUUCUUAGAUUGAAGUGAGGUGAAUGGAAGCCGGCCGGCCGGCUACUCUCGUAGUCGGUCGGUGGUGGGAGAAAAACCGGCUUUUGUUAUAUUAGUCCGUUAGUCCCUAGCCGUUUUUCGUGUGGGCGUCCUUUCCUGCCUUUAACUCUUGCCAGCCGGACAGCCAGUUCUUCGAACUGCGACUUUUGGCAAGAGAAGGCUUGGGUGUCGGCAUACUACUUGUCUGACCGCGGGUAGGACUUCUAAUAUAACUCCAGGCAGCCAGUCCCCGGGCCGACUAGUCGAACCUGGUGCCGGACGAAAAAAGUGAAUGUAAUGACAAGGUCAUAAGCAUGAUAUUCUUCAUUUACAGAUAAAAGAUGGAAGUCCCCGAGCUCUGCUCGGGGGGCCUAUUGUCUCGUACUUAGUACAAAAGUUAGCAUGAUACAUACUGCAUUUCAACUGUAAAAUCUUCGGAGGAGGUUGGCGUUCCAUGGUCGUUUCGACUCCUUUCCGGAAUCAUCUCUCUUGCGUGCCUUCGGCUUCUGUGCGUCGAUUAGGUAGUAGGAGUCGUUGCCUAAAGCUCUGCUGAUGACGAAGGGGCCCUCCCAAGGGGCCGAGAGCUUGUGCUGGCCGGCUGUUCGCUGGAUCAGCCGGAGCACAAGAUCGCCCUCUUGGAAGGAUCUUGGCUUGACCUUCCGGUUGUGGUAGCGGCGCAGGCCCUGCUGAUAGAUGGCGGACCGGCUGAGGGCUAACAGCUGACCUUCUUCCAGCAGGUCGACGCCGUCUUCUCGUGCUUCCUUGGCCUCCGCCUCCGUGUACAUGGUUACCUGAGGCGAGUCGAACUCGAUGUCGGUUGGGAUGACCGCCUCGGCACCGUACACAAGGAAGAAAGGAGUGAAGUCGGUUGACUUGUUUGGGGUAGUGCACAGACUCCAGAGGAUGGGCGGCAGCUCGUCGAGCCAACAGCCGGCCGAACGUUCCAAUGGUACGACCAGUCGGGGCUUGAUGCCGGAAAGGAUGAGGUCGUUGGCUCGCUCGACCUGGCCGUUUGACUGCGGGUGGGCAACGGACGCUAAGUUCAACCGGAUGCCUUGCGUCGCGCAGAAAUGUGCCAAGGCUCCCUUGGCGAAAUUCGUGCCAUUGUCGGUGAUGAUGCUGUGUGGCACGCCGUACCGAGUUGUUAUAUCUGCGAUAAAUGUCACUACAGUCAGCCCAUUCAGCUUCUUGAUCGGCUUUGCCUCAAUCCAUUUGGUGAAUUUGUCCACAGCGACAAGCAGAUGUGUCAUGCCGCCGCGCGCCGUCUUGAAUGGGCCCACCAUGUCCAGUCCCCAAACGGCGAAGGGCCAAGUGAGGGGAAUGGUCUUGAGUGCCGAAGCCGGCAUGUGUUGCUUGGAGCUGAAGAGUUGGCACCCUUUGCAAUGUUUAACUAACUCCUUGGCGUCAUCCAAAGCAGUUGGCCAAAAGAAACCAUGGUGGAAAGCUUUGGCGAUGAGUGAUCUUGAGGCCGCAUGGUGGCCGCAUUCUCCUUGGUGGAUGUCUCUGAGGAUUGCAAUGCCCUUCUCUUGCUCGACACAUCGCUGGAGGACUCCAGUGACACUGCGCUUGACGAGCUCACUGUUGACGAUUGUGUGUGCUCCGGCUCGGCGUUGGACUUGUCUUGCCUCUGUUUCAUCAGCCGACAGAUCUUGGUUUAUUAGGAAGUUGAGGAUGGACUGAGCCCAUGAUGGAGCUGUGACUUCUUCUAUUGCCAACACGGCUACUGCGACCAGGGCGGGCGGGUUGGGUGGUGAAAUGCUGGAGUCGGCUGCCACCUGUUGCAUUGGUGCAAUCUCCGGGCCGACUACCGCAGUCCCCGGGUCGGGCGUAACUAUGGAAGUCCUCGAGCCGCUUGCUGAUGUCCCUGGGCCGACUAUCGAAGUCCUCAGGUCACCCGCUUGGUUCUUCGAGCCGGACCCGGUUGCAUUGGGGUCAGGCGGCACGAAGAUGGAAUCGGACCCUGGAGACGGCUUGAUAGACGGCUUGAGGAGGUGUUGUAGAGAGACACCGGUUGGUAUUGCUUGCCGAGUGGAGCCUAUUCGAGCCAGGGCAUCAGCUGGCUCGUUGUCGGCUCGCGGUAUGUGAAGGAACUCGCAUCCUUCAAAGUACCCACUGAUCUGCUAAACGAGGAAGCGGUAGUUUGCCAUAUUUGCGUCCUUGGCAUCCCAGUCGCUGGAUGAUUGCUGGACCACCAAGUCCGAGUCGCCAUAACAUAGGAUCUGGCGAAUGCCGAGUUCUUUGGCAAGCCGGAGCCUGUGUAUGAGUGCCUCGUACUCGGCCAUGUUGUUGGAGGCGGCAAAGUGAAUUUGUAGCGUGUAUCUGAGCUUGUCGCCUUUGGGAGAGGUGAGGAUGACGCCGGCUCCCAAGCCGGAGCGCAUCUUGGACCCGUCGAAGUGCAUGCGCCAAUGAGUGGAGUCCGGAGCUGGCAGCAGGUACUGGGUCUCAGCCCAGUCGACGAGGAAGUCGGCCAAUGCUUGGGACUUGAUGGCGGUGCGAGGCUGGUAGAAGAUCGUGUAGGGCGCCAGCUCGAUGGCCCAUUUCGCCACCUGGCCGGAUGCAUCCCGGCUACCUAUGAUCUCGGCAAGUGGGGCGGUGCAUACGACCGUGAUGGGAUGCUCUUGGAAGUAGGGCUUCAGCUUCUUGGCGGCGAAGUACACGCCAUAGCACAUCUUCUGGUAGUGCGGGUAGUUCUGCUUCGAGGUAGGCAGCACCUCGCUCAAAUAGUACACCGGCCUCUGGACCGGCUGGGCUCGGCCCUCUUCUGGGUGCUGGACUACGAUGACGGUGCUGACUACCCGGCUGGUUGCAGCAAUGUAGAGGAACAUGGGCUCUUUCUCAGUCGGCUCCGCCAGGACAGGCGGCGUGGCCAGCGUCUUCUUUAGCUCGUGAAAAGCUUGGUCGGCUUGGUCAUUCCACUCGAAGUGAUUGGUCUUCUUCAUGAGGCGGUAGAGGGGAAGAGCUUUCUCUCCGAGCCGGCUGAUGAAGCGGUUCAGGGAGGCCAAGCAUCCGGUAAACUUCUGGACGUCUCGAAGUUUGGUGGGAAUCGCCAUUCUCUCAAUGGCCUUGAUCUUUACUGGGUUGCAUUCGAUGCCGCGUUCGGAGACCAGGAAGCCUAGGAGCUGGCCGGCUGGCACUCCGAACACGCAUUUCUCGGGGUUGAGCUUGAUUUGGAACCGACGCAGGUUCUCAAAUAUUUCCUUGAGGUCUUCCAGCAAGGUGUCGCGCUUCUCCGUCUUCACCACAAUGUUGUCUACGUAGACGUGGGCAUUUCUGCCGAGCUGCUUGAGGAGGCACUUCUGCAUGCAACGCUGAAAAGUGGCAUCGGCAUUUCUUAAGCCGAAUGUCAUAGUCAGGUAGCAGAAGGCUCCGAAUGGCGUGAUGAAGGCGGUCUUCAGGCGGUCUGCCGGAUCUAACUUUAUCUGGUGGUAUCCUGAGUAAGCAUCCAAGAAACUCAACAGCUCGCAUCCGGCCGUGGAGUCUAUCACUUGAUCAAUCCUCGGCAGGGCAAAGGGAUCUUUGGGGCAGGCCUUGUUGAGGCUCGUGUAGUCUAUGCACAUGCGCCACUUGUUGUUCUUCUUUAGCAUGAGGACCGGGUUGGCGAGCCACUCUGAAAAGAAAACUUCCAUAAUGAAGCCGGCUGCCAGAAGCCGGGCUAUCUCUUCUCCUACAAUCCUUCUUUUCUCCUCUGACAGUCGGCGAAGGGGUUGUUUGACUGGUUUUGCGUCUUCUCGGACGUGUAGCUUGUGCUCGGCGAAUUCCUUCGGAACACCCGGCAUGUCCUUGGGGGACCAUGCAAAGAUGUCCCGAUUCUCACAGAGGAAAUCGGCGAGCUCGCCUUCCUAUUUGCUAUUUAGGUUUGCCCCGAUGACGGCAAACCUCUCUGGGUGCUCGGGGUCAAGAGGUAUCUUCUUCGUCUCCUUGGCCGGCUGGAAAGAUCCUUGGGCAUCAUACUCCUGGGGAUCGGGGGACAAGGCCGAUUGUUUGCCGGCCAUGGCCACAACUCGGUCCAACAUCUUCUUUUCUUCGGCGAUCACAAGGGACUCGGCCAGCCGGCUGCUGGCUGCUGCGCACUCGGAGGACUUCUUGUAAUCGCCGGCUAUGGUGAUGACGCCCUUGGUGCUCGGCAUCUUUAUCUUGAGGUAAGCAUAGUGGGGAACUGCCAUGAACCUGGCCAAGGCAGGUCGGCCAAGCAAUGCAUGGUAGGGGCUCUCCAGGUCCACCACUUCAAACCAGAUCGCUUCUCGGCGGAAAUGAUCCUUGUCCCCAAAGAAUACAUCAAUCUUGAUCUUGCCAAUGGAGGCGCAGUACAGGCCAGGUACAAUGCCAUGGAACACAGUCCGAGUAGGCAUGAGUUGCUUCGUCUUGACGUUCAGCUUCUCCAGGGUGUCACGGUACAUGAUGUUGAUGUUGCUCCCGCCGUCUAUCAGCACACGGGAGAAACGGGCGGCACGUCUAUCCAUUGCAAGGGUGGCAUCCAAAACCAACGCAUAAGAGCCGGGAGAUGGCAUCACCUCUGGGUGGUCGGCCCGGCUCCAGCUGAUAGGUUUUUCUGACCAGUGCAUGUGCUCGGCGGGGGUGGCAGCGACCAUGCUGACUUCCUGGUGCUCUCGGUGUUUGCUGCGCCGGUCUUCGGGCUGGCUUGUAAAGAUGACAUAGGUGGCAUGCUCGUCGGGAACUCAUCGUGCACGGCUCCGACUGCAGGCCGAGCGGUCGGCGGCUGCGGAGCCGGAGGCGGCGGACCGGAGGCGGAGGCGGCGCAAGCCCUUCGCCUUUGGAGAUUCGGGUGAGCCAGUGGCACUUCCGGGUUGUGUGGUUGGACGGCUUCGCGCCGCUGUGGAACUUGCAUGGGGCGUCGAGAGUUUGCUCGUAGGAGAAGGCCGGCUGCCAAGCUGGCUUGCCGCCCCUCUGCUUCUUGGGUGCGGGCCGCCCUUCGGGCUGCUCGUCUUCGCUGUGGCCACCUGCCGACUGGUGGAGGGCGGCACGGGGCCCUUGCGCUUGUGGUCGUUCUGGUGUGGGCGUCGGCCGGAGUCCCCCGUCGGCGUCUUGGGCACCGGGUUAAGUACUUUCCCGGACGCGUCUACCCGGAGUUCGGUCUUCAUUGAGGAGUCGGCGGUGGCGUACUUGUCCGCUAUGACCAGAAGCUCGUCGAGGGUAGUCGGCUCGUUGCAGAGGAGCUUGUGCUUGAGGAGGGUACCUUCUCGGCACCCGACAGUGAAGUAUUCUAUGGCUUGCACCUCGAGCACCCCCUCGCAGGAGUUGCGGAGCUCGGCCCAACGCAUGAGGUAGUCACGAGUGGACUCGGCAGGGCCUUGUACACACAAGGAGAGCUGUCUGGGCUUGGGAACCCGCUUGUAGGUGCUGGUGAAGUUGCGGACGAAGGCUUCUGUGAAGUCUAGCCAGCUGUUGAUGUUGUAUGGCUUGAGGCUGUUGAGCCAGGUCCGCGUCGUGCCUUGCAGCAUGAGGGGCACGCACUUCACGGCAACGCGCCUGUUGCCGUUUGCUACACUAACCACCGUGGAGUAGUCAAUCAACCAAUCUUCCGGCUUCACGGAGCCGUUGUACUUGGGCGUGUCUCUUGGGAGCGAGAACCCUUUGGGAAAGGCUCGUCGCGGAUGCGGGGGCCGAAGCAAGGUGGGCCGACAUCAUCUUCUUCUUCCAGCGCCAAGGAUCGCGCUAGGCGGUCGAUCCGAUGGCGGGCGUCAUUCUCGCCGACUCCUUCGCGACGACCUAGUCGGCCGCUGAGAGUCGGAUGCACAACAGGCGGUGGGGUGGGAUGUCUCUCCCCAUAGGGCCGAGGCGGAGGCGGGUCGCCCCGCCGCUCCAUGGCCCGGGGAUGGCCUUCUGCGUCUCGCUCGAUGGAGAUUCGGGUUUGGCUUCGGCUGGCAGCCGACUCUUUCUCGUGCCGCGCGCGGGUUUUACCCGUAGUCAGCGUCUGAGACGUCACGCUGUGAUCUCGGCGCGGGGGAGGGCUUUCCGCGCGGGCGUCGGCUUCGUGCCGCUGCGCGGCCGCAUCGAUUAGCUGCUGGAUGCGUCUGGUCAUGUGGGAGAGUUCUUCGGCCCCCAAUCCGUCUAGCUCGUCUACGGCCGCCUGGGCGGCGUGCAGGUUCUUGAGUGGAGUGGCGUAGACUGGGCGGUCGACUCCUAGCGUGUCGGCGAUGACAGCGCCGCGCUGUCUGACAACGCCGGCCCGGCUUGGCCCGCCUGGGGGCGGCGUGCCAAAGGCGGCACGGUCGGCUUCGCGCUGGUGGGCCUCAGUGAGGCAUCUCAUGGAAGCCAGCUUCCGGCCCUCCGCGAGGAGGGCGAGGCGGCGAGCCUCCAGUGCUUCAGCAUCGGCAUCGGCCGGGAGGGGGAUGGACAAGUCGUGGACCGCCGCGUGCGGGGCGUCAUGGGCGCUCUCGUCAGAAGCGCCGCCGCGGCCAAUGACCAUCACCUCGGUGGUGACAGCGUCGCAGCCAUCGGCCCGGGGAAGCGAGUCGUUGUAGAUCGUGACAUCGGUGGGGAAAGUGUCGAGUGAGGCCGUGUCGGAGUCGACAAGCAUCGGAUCGGUGGAGCCAACAGACUCCAUGUCCAUAGCAGGCUCGCCGGAGACGUGGAGCUGGCCGAGGAGGUUGACGAGGUGGUCGGUGCCCGCGUCAGAGGCGAGCUCGUCGGAGAUGAGGGUCUUGUCAAGGAGAUCGGCGAGGCCGCUCGCUGCGCAGACGUUGGUGACGCCUUGCAGCGCGUCGUGGCAAGCGCCAUCGGGCGUGCCAGGCUGGCUACGCUCGCUGGGGAGGAAGAGGAUUCCCGUCCAGAACAGGUCUCCGGACGACGGUGCACCUAGCCCCACGGUGGGCGCCAAAUGUCGGGUGGUAGGUGCGACAUAUGCCAACGGGUGGCUUAUCAUUGUGGGAGCCAGUAAGACGUCGCCGGUGCCUGGAAGCGGGAUGAGGCGAAGACAUGCACGCCGGCGAAUCUUACCCAGCUUCGGGGCUCUUCGUGGAGAUAACACCCCUACUACUGCUCUGCGGGGUCUCCGCAUGAUCACUAGAGGAACAAGUAGCUACACGAUGCUCCUUGAGCUGUCUGGCGAGAGGAGGAAGAAGGGCUCGGCUCGCUCUCUUCUCCUCCCUAUAUGGUGUCUAAAACUAGCAUGGAUCCCCCUUGCAUGGGUGUCCCGGGGGGUUUAUAUAGGCCUACCCCCGGGGGUACAAUGGUAAUCCGACUGGGCGUGGGGCCCAGCCGUCUGUGUCUUUACUCGCCGGCUUCUACGCCGGCUGCUGGGGCCCGCCGGCUGGUGGGUCCCACCGGCUGCCGGCUCCUGGGUCGACAGGCAGGCCCCACUGUCCAGGGCCUUGUCGGUGGCUGGUUACUGUCGCUCAAUCCUGGUGACGAGGGCUUCGCCGAGGUGGGCGUGGCUACAGUGCCGCCGUCCGGCGGGUGAUCGCUGUAGCCUCACCGCGUCUUGUCUCCUUAAUGGGACGUCUCCUUCGAGGAAGGUGGCAAGCCGGCUGUGGAGAGCCGGCUCUGUCUUGGACCGACUGGGGGGGCUUGGCCGCCUUCGGGUGUCUCUCUGCCCGAAGGGGCCCACCGCUCGUGGGCCGCCCUGGCAGCCUGUCAUGGAUGACAUCAGGGUCAACGUGGCAACAGUGCCGCGCCGGACGGGUCAUGGCCACCCGUACGGCGCACUGUGCCAGGCGUGCUCCGGGAUUCUGGGGUGGCAGGCUUUACUGUAGCCACGCCCCAUCACAUCGCCGUUAUGUGGAUGCAGACUUCGAGGGUACGAUCUUGACCGCUUUGUGGGAGCCGGCUUCUUGGAGUCGGCCUUCUCGCGGCUGGCUUCUCGGAGCCGGCCCUCCCGCGGCUUUCUUCAUGAGGGCUGAAGUCGGGCCGCCUUUCGAUAGUCGGCCUAGGAGACAGCCGGCAAUGGGAAGGCGGCCCCAUGUCUUGGAUUCUUGAGGGCCGGAUCGACUCAUAAUUUUUCAGAAGGGCCAGGGGGAGCCGGCUAGGCUACCCGUGGUCAUUUACUCCGACAAGGGGGAGAGGGGGCGCGCGGCCUGCCCUGGCCGCCCCUCCUCUUCUCCACUUUAGGCCCAUGAGGCCCAUUAACCCCCCGGGGGGUUCCGGUAACCCCCCGGUACUCCGGUUUUAUCCGAAACUUCCCCGGAACACUUUCGGUGUCGGAAUAUAGCCGUCCAAUAUAUCAAUUUUUAUGUCUCGACCUUUUCGAGACUCCUCGUUAUGUCCGUGAUCACAUCCGGAACUUCGAACUAACUUCGGUACAUCAAAACUAAUAAACUCAUAAUAUAACUGUCAUCGAAACCUUAAGCGUGCGGACCCUACGGGUUCGAGAACAAUGUAGACAUGACCGAGACACGUCUCCGGUCAAUAACCAAUAGCGGAACCUGGAUGCUCAUAUUGGCUCCCACAUAUUCUACGAAGAUCUUUUAUCGGUCAGACCGCAUAACAACAUACGUUGUUCCCUUUGUCAUCGGUAUGUUACUUGCCCGAGAUUCGAUCGUCGGUAUCUCAGUACCUAGUUCAAUCUCAUUGCCGGCAAGUCUCUUUACUCGUUCUGUAAUACAUCAUCUCGCAACUAACUCAUUAGUUGCAUUGCUUGCAAGGCUUAGGUGGUGUGCAUUACCGAGAGGGCCCAGAGAUACCUCUCCGACAAUCGGAGUGACAAAUCCUAAUCUCGAAAUACACCAACCCAACAUGUACCUUUGGAGACACAUGUAGAGCACCUUUAUAAUCACCCAGUUACGUUGUGACGUUUGGUAGCACACAAAGUGUUCCUCCGGCAAUUGGGAGUUGCAUAAUCUCAUAGUCAUAGGAACAUGUAUAAGUUAUGAAGAAAGCAAUAGCAACAUACUAAACGAUCGGGUGCUAAGCUAAUGGAAUGGGUCAUGUCAAUCACAUCAUUCUCCUAAUAAUGUGAUCCCGUUAAUCAAAUGACAACACAUGUCUAUGGUUAGGAAACAUAACCAUCUUUGAUUAAUGAGCUAGUCAAGUAGAGGCAUACUAGUGACGUUUAGUUUGUCUAUGUAUUCACACAAGUAUUAUGUUUCCGGAUAAUACAAUUCUAGCAUGAAUAAUAAACAUUUAUCAUGAUAUAAGGAAAUAAAAUAAUAACAUUAUUAUUGCCUCUAGGGCAUAUUUCCUUCAGAACCAAGAAACAUGAUGCAAGGAUGCAAUGGUUUGAGCUCUCUACUAACGAUACGAUCAAGCCACCAACUUGAGAGCCCCCCUUGAUAGUACGGCAAACGACCCUAUAACCCGGUCUCCCAACUACCACCACGAGACCGGUAAAAUAGAAAGCCUAUCAAGGGCAAACCUUUGCCUUGCACAUGGUCCACUUGAGCUAGAUGAUGACGAUCUUGACUCCCUCAAGUUGGACCACCUUUCUUGAUUGCGUUGGCUCGAUGAAGACUAGAUGAUUGCUCCCCCAUACUCCACUAUGGAUGAGCCACUCUUCGGCACAUCUUCACAAGUCCAUUGUCACCAUAAUGGACGACAAGCUUCAAGCAUUUGAUCUCUUCGUGAUGCUUCACUUGAAUUUGCACACCGUAACCUAACCCCACAAAGAACUCUCACGAAGACCAUGGGUUAGUACGCAAAGCGUAAUGAACAAUGCUUACCAUACCAUGGGAUCACUUGAUCCCUCUGUACAUCUUGUACGCUUUGUGUGUUGAUCAACUUGAUUCACUCUUGACUUAGUCUUGAUCAACCUUGAUUCUUUCCAACUCUCUUCAUUUGGAUGAUGUCUUGAAGGUAAACAUGAAUGAUCAAACAAUCUUCUUCUUCAAGACAUGCUUGCAAUAAGCUCAACUCUCAAAUGACCAAUCUUUGGAUAAUUCCUUGAAUAGCACCUUGGUCGACACAAACUCUCAUUGAAACCAACACAUGUACUCCAAGAAAAGCCUAUGGACAAAACCUUCAAAUAUAACUCAAGGCAACCAUUAGUCCAUAGAGAUUGUCAUCAAUUAUCAAAACCAAACAUGGGGACACCGCAUGUUCUUUCACCAGUUUUCUCAACAGCCCGACAAGCUGUGUUGGAAACUAACUAAGAAUGGAGAGGUUUUGGUUAAAUCCAUGUACUUGGAUGUUAUCAACUCUAGCGUGAUUCCUCGAUCGAAACAUGUUUGGAAAGUCAAAGUUCCUUUGAAAAUCAAAGUGUUUAUGUGGUUUGUACAUAAACAAGUUAUCUUAACCAAGGACAAUUUGGCAAAACGCAAUUGGACAGGUUCUACGAGAUGUAGCUUUUGUGACCAAUAUGAAUCAAUCAAACACCUCUUUCUUGAUUGCCCUCUGGCAAAAAUUAUGUGGCGGACGGUUCACAUAGCAUUUAACAUUACUCCUCUGAAUUCCAUCACCAUGUUAUUUGGGGCGUGACUUGAUGGGAUAAAUUUUGUCAUUGAGAGACACAUUCUUGUAGGAGUUUGUGCUUUGUUAUGGGCAAUCUGGAAUUGCAGAAAUGAUUUGGUCUUUAACAGAAUAACAAAUAUUCAUUUUUGCAGGUUAUCUUCAGAGCCACUGCGUUGAUCCGUAUGUGGUCGCUACUCACUCCGACGGAGGCCAGGGAGCGUUUGGUUACUGGAUCUACCCGAUGGGAGAUGGUAGCACAAGAUAUUUUCAACCGGUUUGGAUGACGGUCAUGUAAUAGGAUAAUCAUUUAGUGUUCCAAUCCUUUUAUGCCAGCCGGUUGUGGCUUUUCUACUUUUGUUUUGCUCUUCGCGAGCCUUCUUUUCAUUUUUGUUCGAGACCUGAAGACUUGUCUUGGACCUUUUGUUUAUUAAUAAUUAUGGCCGUAUGCAUCGUUCUGAUGCAGAGGCUGGGGCAACCCCCAUUUUAGAAAAAAUCAACUUACUAUUCAUAAGUUAUCCGUAAAACAAAGUAAUAUUUUCAAGCCAAAGGAGGUUCGCAUUAUCUGAUACAACAAUGAAUUACACAAACAUAUUGGUUGGAUUAUUGGCGUGCUAACACUCUUCUAUGACCGGAAGAGACAAAAUAAUGUACAUUGGUGAUACUAAAACGUAGAUAAAAAUAUAAAUGUUUUCACAAAAUAAUAUACUACUCCAUCCUUCCCAAUAUGAAGCAUGCUUGAAUAUCCGUUCUCUAAUGUACAACCUUUACUUAUACUAUGGCUAACCUAGUAAAAGGUAAAUGAACACAAGAGUAUUUUGAUACAAUGAAAUUCUUGUAUGACCAAUCCAUAUACUCUCAUGCAUAUGAGAUGUCAAAGUUUUAAAAUGAUGAUCACACACAUAAUAAUGUGCCUUAUAUUUUAGGAAGGGACCGAGUGUGCCAUACUAAUUAAGCAAUUCCACAAUCACCUCUCCAGCAGACGAAGCCGACAGAGAGAAGAGGAGGCGACGGAAAGGGCAAGGAACACAUGAGCAUGAGAAAGAGAGAGAGAGAGAGAAUAAGAAGCAUUGAAGUUGUUAUCGGUUCUAAAUGCAAUGUUUAAUCAUGUGAAAAAGAGAACAAAUCAAGUUGUUCCAGAGAUUGCUCAAGUAAUGAAGUAUUCAUAUGAUGGCAUUUUCCUUAGAGACACUAUGCUUUACAGAAAUGGAGCGCUACGAGAGCUCAUGGCAACGUCCACGUGGUGGGACCCACCCAGGGUGUGGGCUGUAGGACGACCCCCCAAACGAUGGUCUCAUGUGCUCAAAGUCCGGGUGCGGCUUGUCGGUUUGUUGUGUGUUUGUUGUCUUCGAGAUGCACCGCUCUGAUACAAGGCACCCGUACUGCCCCAGAUCCAGCUCUUCCACAUCGCACCCCCGCACACGCAAGAAGGCACCCACGCCGCCAUAGGGCCACCACUGCUCCACCCAUCCCCUUUCUCUCCCGACGUCUCUCGCGGCGAGGCAAUGGAACAAUGUGUUGGGCCUGAAAGAGCAGGCAGUGCGAGACGCCGCCAAGGCCCUCAACGUGCAUCGCGUCGCGGCGACGCUGGUUGUCCCCAAAUCCGUCACGGUUCGACUACAAUCCACCUCUCCCCCUCUCCCUCGGGCUAUUUUCAAAAGGUAGAUCUGAACUCCAAGCAAAAUCAUGAGCUUUCCUCGAAAUUGUUUUUGUUGGUCAUACAUGGUAUGGAUUUGUGGCGAGUUUAUGGAAUUUCUAGAUGUUGCCAAAUGAGUUAAUCUUCUAUGUCCUCGGGAAGAAGUCGUAGAAUUCAUCGGUAUUUUAUCUUUUGGUAUAAUUUUCAAUCUAAAAAGUGUGCGUGCUUGAUUGCUCGAGUACCAUUAAUUUGCUAUGUCCCAUGGUGCUUGUGGAUUUACAAUUCAUUUAAAGUUAGAGGAUUACUCCAUAUGCUAACCAAACAAAAUUUUCGAUGUCUCGGUGACUGUUCACACCUUGGUCAAUCAGAUUGUUCGCUUAUGGAGCUUUCUUAUUGUUUAGUAAUAUAAAAUUAUACAUCUUUACCAAAAUAACACACCUCGUCCUGUUCAUACUUAAUCAAUGCUAUAACCCACAUUGUGCUUUUUCAUGCGUUCUACUAUCUCCCAAGGACAAAUGGCACAAAUCCAUGAAAAUAGUCUCUUUCAGGUGGACCCAUUCUAUUUCAGACUUCCUGAUUCUUUCCUGCUUCAAUCUUGUAUAAUGUAGUUGCAAUUUUUCCAUCUGAGAAUACCUAACCAAAUACUCAAAAUAUUCAGAACAAACAACUGGGACAACAAUAACGUGUCCUCAACCUAGGUAUAAAAAAUAAUCACAGAGAGGACAAGAAGGCGAAAAAAUAAUUUCAGCAUGUCAUCCUAUAGAAGGCCUAAUCAAACACCGAGAAUACUUUCAAAACAACAACUACAAGAAGAGCAGUGUCUCCUCAACCUAGUCUUCUCCUAGCCUCCUAGGUAGAAAAAUAACCACACAGAGGACAAGAAGAGGGGAAAUAAAAAUAAAUAAGUUCAGCACGGCGAGCGAAAGAGACCCCCGCAGAAGCCAACGCGACGCCAAAUCCAUUCCUCUUCCCUCUCCACAGGCUGAGACGAAGCCAACCGAAGCGAGCACGAACACCCUAGGCGCGCGCGCUCAGAGCCGUGGCGGAGUCGUCGGGCUCGCCGUAGGCAGCGGAUGGCGACGCCCACGCCCAUGGCAGGCGAGGGGACGCUCGCCGGGGUGAUGCCGCUGUUGCCGCCCCCGCCACCGGCGGCGGAGGCGGCCGCGGGGUCGGCGGCCGAGGCGCCGAUGCUGAUAUUCCUCUACUUCCACAAGGCGAUCCGCGCCGAGCUCGAGGGCCUGCACGGCGCCGCCGUGCGCCUCGCCACGGAGCGCGCCGGCGACGUGGGGGCACUGGCCGAGCGCUGCCGCUUCUUCGUCAACAUCUACAAGCACCACUGCGACGCCGAGGACGCGGUACGGCCGCUGCCCCUCUGCAGAGCUCCGUUUUGUUUGAGGCAUUUCGUUUUCCUCCGUUUUACCCCCCUGUAGCUGGUGUGAAUUUGGGUAUGGGCUAUGGAGAUGCGUGGGCGCGUACGAAUAUUGGUGCUGUUUUGGGUUUAGGGUUGGGGAAUUGUUCCCUUCGGUCUGAAGGAGCUGGGCGGGGUUGGGAUUGAAUCGUUCGACCACUGUUAGGAUCUGAAUCCGGUGGACUCCAUACCAUGAUGUUGAAUCUUCUUCGGGUAGCUUUUGAUGCAGCAGUGGACAGUAUAAGGUUGUUUGGCUGAAUCAGCCUAUGCUCACAUGAAUAAUUUGUCGCACUUUUUGCCCUUCUGGCUUCUGAUGUUGACAUAAGGAGAUGAUGCCCAAAUUGUAUAAGCCAUGAUACAAAAGCCUCCGUUCAAUUGAAACCACAAUGGUAAUUUUGAUAUUGACAUCAUCAUGUGAGGCCUUCUCUUUCUUGCUUCCAUGGUGAUGUUUUCUCACUUUCAUUAGAGCACAACGGAACUUUUACUGAUCGAGUCGGAUAGAGCUUUCUUAGUUUCAACCUGUUAGAGUCAGGGGCUAAUGGAGGUCAGGUCCUUCCUAGACUUUUUUUGCUUAAAUCUUGUUACCCUGCAGAAUGAUAAUAGAUCAUCAGUAUUCUUUAGUGGCAGAGAGUCUAACUGACAAGUAAAUGCACCUUGAUGUCCUAUUUUCCCUCGAAUGCCGCAAAAAUAGAAGUUCUGUUUUGAAGCACAAAAAUGUUAGUGCUGUUGUAAACUUCUUUUACCUUGACCAUUUUCUUCAUGGGAAGAGCUGUCAUAGUUGCUUGUUCAAAUCUGUUUUGGCAAUCUAUCUUUCUAAUGCUUUAUUGUUUAUGCUUUGCUUUUUAGAAAUAUUGUGCAGUUUAGUUAUGAGUUCAUCAUAUCAUAUUUUUUGUACUAAAAACAUGCUCAUACUUUUUGGUUUGACAAUUGCAGGUUAUCUUUCCAGCACUUGAUAUACGAGUCAAGAAUGUCGCUGGAACGUAUUCUCUAGAGCAUAAAGGCGAAAAUGACCUCUUUACCCAGCUUCUUGCUUUAUUACAACUCGAUAUUCAAAAUGACGAUGCUCUUCGGAGGGAACUUGCAUCCUGCACAGGAGCCAUACAAACGUGCCUCACCCAGCAUAUGUCCAAGGAAGAAGAACAGGUCAGUGCCAUAUUUCCUUUUUAAACGGCCUCUUAUCAUAUUAAGCAGUUCAUAUCCAACUAGAUAAGGAAAACAGUAUGCUGCUCAGUAUCUUAUGUUUGAACCAAUUUUGUUCUAGGGCAAGUGCAUUCUAUGACAGUGUCACCAUUCAAAAGUUGUUCUUAAUGCCUGUUUGUGCUCUUAUUAGGCAUUUUAUGAAGGUGCUCAUUUGUUGUAAUCGUGUCGAGAAGUCCUUAGCAAAAUCAUCUUAUUACUAGGCUGUCCAACUUUCUUGCCCCUUUUUACAACAUUUGAAUGCUCACGAUCUCCUUUAUGACGGUGCUAACGGUUAUAGGAUGGCAAAUCAAGCUGGCAAGCUUUUACUUUUAAGUAUUUUGAGUGAUUCUAUGAUAUACUUUCCUGUUAUUACCUUGAUGUCAGUAAGGAUAGGUGCAAACAGAGAAGUGAUGGUAGUGGGACAUAUGUGGUCUUCUAGUUGCUACUCUACCGUCAUUGUUUUCUCAAGUUAUCACCAAGGGUUCGUAUGCCAGUUUCUGUAUUCUGAUUAAAGGGUCACACAGCUCUCGGUGUCAUGCAGGCAUCUUGGACUGUAUUACUCUUAUUCUGCAUUUUUGAAAUCCCGGACUUCAUGUUCUGAUCAGAAGUGUUUACCUUAUAUGUGGAUCCCAUUUAAAUAAGCUACAUCAACCUGUGCACCUACACGGGCUGCAUAUAAACAAUACUUUAUACAUCUUAACGUAAAGGCGAUUCUCUAAGGAUAUUUGAUGCAUUUUUCUAUCUGAUUACACUUUUACACAUAUCCCUUUGCCAUGCUCUGAUUGCCUUUUUUCUACUACAACUCUUAAUUCGUCAAGUGAAUAUUCCUCAUCUUGUGAUAUGAAAUCCGGCUGUUGUAAAUUAAUGGCAAGCCUCUGACUAGUAAAUCUUUCAUACUCCCCCCUCCCACAAUUUAAGACGGUUUUUGCAAGCUAACAUAGCUUGCAAAAACGUCUUAUAUUAUGAGAGGAGGGAGUAAUACAUAAUGAUUUUGAUUUUAUUAUAUUACUUCCUGAAAUAAAUGGCAGUUGUAAAUUCAAUUACAUUUUAAAUUUGAUCCUACCGUUAUGAUUGGCAUCAAUUACUCAUUUUGUCUUUCAUGAUCACAUGUAUGCUUUAAUGUUUGAUAUUUUUGGAAUUAUUCUUAAUUAGGAGCCCUUGUUCUUUUCGUGAUGAAACUAGGAGUAUCUUGUAUAUACAUCUAUCUCUAAAUUGGGAUUUUCACUUUAUUUUGAAUUUUGAUCUGCACUGUAGGGUACAUAUAUACAAUUAUUUACCCAUCUCUCUCUUCUGUCUCAGUUUUUUAGGUGCAUAUACAUCUAACUUUAAAGCCAAAAUCCAUGUGUGUCCCACAGCACAAACAUAUGCUUUUUCCCCCUGAUAUUUCCAAAAAUGUCAUAUGAAACCUAGUGCAAAGUGUAAUAUUAUUAUGCAGGGGCCUGCUGCAAGGUGACACAAGUGGCAAUCUACCUGGUGUGAAGUGCAAUUUACUCUAAUUCUGAUGAUGUUGGGCAAUGUGUGGUGGCUUGAAGGGAGCCUCCAUUUAGUAAAUAUAAAAUUGUGUGUCUGUUCUUGUAUCCCUUGCUGUUGCACUCUAAAGAGGCUGCCCAACAUCGAUCAGAAGCUUUGACUAAUUGUUUGUUUGAGUAAUAUAAUCCAGAUAAACAAGUGGGACAGCUGGGUUGCAAUAUUAACUUGCAUGAACUAGAUCUUUGGGAGUUCAGAAAAUGUGGCAAUUUUUUUCUUUGGAUUAUGCUCUUUGCAUGGUCAUGUAUCUUUUGUGGUGUCUGCAUCCUAAAAUCAUAUCUAGAUGAUGUGAUUACUCAAGAUAUUUGGUGUUGGUGACUGAUCGUAUUUCAUACCUAUUGGUGGCUGAUCAUCUGAUUUUCUAGGUCUUCCCAUUGCUUACCAAGAAAUUUUCAUACGAAGAGCAGUCAGAUUUAGUAUGGCAGUUCUUAUGCAACAUUCCUGUAAAUAUGCUGGCAGAGUUCCUUCCGUGGCUCUCAGCUUCUGUUUCAUCUGACGAGCAUCAGGAUAUUCGUAACUGUUUAUGUAAAAUAGUUCCUGAAGAGAAACUUCUUAAACAGGUCUCACAAUUGCGCCUCUUUACUGUUUCUGGCAAUAACUUGCUUGUUGUCCUGUUAAAUUUGAGUUUUAAAAUUUGUGAAGGUUGUAUUCACUUGGAUCGAAGGGAAAGCAACAAGAGAAGUGGCACAGAGUGUUGUCAGUGAUAAUUUGGAAAGAAGUCAUUGUUGCAAGGAUGCUUCCUUUGUUAAUCAAGCGGAGAAACUUAUUUAUCCACUUGAACAGUCUAAAGUUGGGCAUAUAAAGUAUACAGAAUCUAAUGAUUGUCAGGCUGACAGGCACCCCAUAGAUGAGAUUUUAUAUUGGCAUAAUGCUAUCCGUAAAGAAUUAAAUGAUAUAGCAGAGGAGACAAGAAGGAUGCAGCAGUCUGGAGAUUUUGCUGAUAUAUCAGCCUUCAAUGCGAGACUUCAGUUUAUUGCAGAUGUGUGCAUCUUCCACAGGUAUUUAGUUUUAAUCUUCAAUUAUUCACACUUUAAUUUAAGAUUUUAUUGUGCAACUAUGUAUAUACACUCCUUUUUAAUGCUGCUUUUCUAUGUAAGUUGACAUUGAGUAUACCAUUUGUUUGUUAUUAAUAAUAUAAUUGGCACUCCCAUUCAUCAUUUGUAGUGUUACACUGUUUGCCUUGCUUAACAUACCCUGCCUGCUGCUUGGGUAGUUAUGUGGCUUAUGCACUAUUUUUGACAUCGUGGUGCACUGGUGGCUUUUGCACUUUUGCUACACACGAGUUUGAUUUUUUUUAUCCUAGUAUGGUACAGGUGAUUACAUACACUUGAGCAAGCAGUAUCACAAACGUGCUAAUUCUCCUAAAUUUAGGAACUGUUUAACUGAGAAUAGUUCUGCACAUAUGUAUUAUUGUUUUGUUGUACAUAAAGGUAUAUUUUUCUGUGCAUGUAUUGGUGUCAUGCUAGUCACACCUUGUUGUGUGCUAGAACUUGUUUUCUCCUGGUUCGUUUUUGACACUUUUCACCGGUAAAACAGAACGUUCUGAAAGUAGACUAUGUACCUUCUUUAAUUUCACCUGUUUCAUUUUUUAUUAUUAUCUACAGUAUCGCCGAGGAUCAGGUUGUAUUUCCUGCAGUCAAUAGCGAGCUGUCCUUCGUGCUGGAGCAUGCUGAAGAAGAGCGUCGAUUUAACAAUUUUAGAUGCUUAAUUCAGCAAAUCCAAAUGGCAGGAGCAAAAUCAACUGCAGCAGAGUUUUACUCUGAAUUGUGUUCACAUGCUGAUCAGAUAAUGGAGGCAAUUGAGAAACACUUCUGUAACGAAGAAACCAAGGUUAGUACUUCGUAGUGAUGUUUCUGUGUCACUGGAAUUAUUGCUUUGUCUGUCAGAAUGUCAUCUUUGGUUUAAUUUACCUAGGUGCUUCCCCAAGCUAGGGUUCUUUUCUCUCCUGAGAAGCAAAGGGAACUUCUAUAUAGAAGUCUUUGUGUCAUGCCAUUGAAGCUAUUGGAACGUGUUCUACCAUGGUUGGUGUCAAAACUGAGCGAUGAGGAGGCAUCUUCUUUUCUUCAGAAUAUGCGCUUGGCAGGUCAUCUCUUUACUCUGAUUAUUUUAAGUUAUUUUCUUUAUACAUUAUACUUAGCUUUGAAGUUUUCAUUGGGAAUUCAAUGUUUGCUGAAAGAUUCAUGUGAAACAGCACCAUCAUCUGACACCGCAUUGGUCACUCUUUUCUCUGGUUGGGCAUGCAAGGCUCGCUCAGAGGAUAAAUCCAAUUCUGGAGAAUAUAUAUGCUUAACAUCAGGGGCAGCAAGAUGCCUGUUGGAUGAUGUAGAAGAGCUGAAAAAGUGUCAAUCAUUCUGCCCAUGUGCUUCACGUAUCAGUGCAGAUGUUGCUCUUCAUCUGGAAAAUGAAAAUGGUUCUAGGCCAGGCAAGCGAGGAAAUGAUGCAGAAUCUGUUCCUGGUACUAAUGGAAGUCACUGCUCUCAAAUUACUGACACUGUAGCAAGUCCAUGUAGCAAAAAACCUUGUUGUAUUCCUGGGUUGAGAGUAGACACGAGCAAUCUUGGCAUCGGUUCACUGGCUUCUGCAAAGUCCUUCCUCUCCCUGUCAUACAAUUCUUCUGCGCCCUCAUUAUAUUCAAGCCUUUUUUCAUAGGGUGCGGAGGCGGAGGAGAUGCUGACGAAGGCAACGAGGCGAAGGGAAAGGAGGAUGCGCUCGCAUCCAGUAGGCUGCUCGAUCCGGAAUUCAAGCCCUCCAAGCUGUCCCAAGAUCAGCUCGACAAGUUUAAGGUUUUCUUCUCUUACUUACAGUAGAUUUCUCGAAUGUUCAGUGCGAAUCUUGUGGGGUUCAUGAUCCCCCGCAGGUGGAUGGUUCUUUCUAACCGUUAUAGGAAGCAUAUUAGUACUGUACUUUGGAAGGGCAGACUAGGGCAGGGCAAAAUUGGUCCCUCCCUCCCUCCCUGCUCCUCAAUUACUGGAGGAAAAUGUUCAAGCUGUAGGCUUUAAUGUCAAUGUCAUAGUCAUACAGAAUGGCUGUAGCACCUUUGUCUAAGGGUGACAUGUUGUGUUUUCUUCUUAUGAUGCCCUCAUCGUUGCCAUGAACCAAUUUAUCCAGAUCUUUUUAUAGAAAAUUGUUAGGAAUAGUUUCAUUUGUUUCCAGCAUAUAAAACUGGUCUUAUGAAGCGUAGAAACAUUGCUGCAUAGACAUAUCUUCAGCUUCUGAAUUCUAAUAGUUGAAGUGCUCGCCUUUUUGACCACAUGACCGGACACGGAAGUGUUCCCAUAGAGGAACAGAGCAGGCAUCCAAAAUCCAGUUGUUUUCCAGAGAUUUUUAGCUGAGUCAUUGACCGCUCGGCAUCAAAAUUUGAAGACAAUAAAUCUCCCAGAUAUUGUUAAGAGUGCAGUUUUUGUGUUUAGCACUUGUUGCAGUUAAAGAAAAAAAACUUGCAAAAUUCAAGGUCAAAGCAUAGAGGACACAAUAUUAGCUUUAGUUAGGAAUCCUGCAUACUGUACUUGCACUGUUGCACAUUGAUGAGUGUAACAAAUGAGAAAACACGGCAAACAAAGAGAGAGAAAUAUAAUACUAUUAGCACUUCUGUGAAAUGCCUAUUUGAAACCUAUUGUUGCUAGAGUUUGGAUUGGAUUAUAGAAAAGAUAUUGUGCUAAACUGGAUGUGAUGUUUUUGUUUGGGUCAUUUUUUUGUCUUGUGCCAUACAUAUUACAUAGAUUGUUAAUGAGAUGCUGGUCUCGACAAUUUCAUUUGAGAAGUUCCAGUUGAAAAGCAUAAUUUCCCAUCCUUAAGAAUCUCAACCCUGAAUUAAACGGCAAAUUUCCAAACGUUUGUUCAGAGUGCUUCUAUCCUUUUUUCUGAAGUUACCAACUCUUUAGUUUUGUUUUUAUUUCGAGAAAUACCAACUAAAUUGUUUGAUCUUUCAUGUUACAGGAAUUGCACAAGAAACGGCUACAAAUAAAGGAAAAAACAAAAUCCAAAGGAAAACCUAAAGGUAUCUCUCUUUAUGUAUCUGUGAUUACCUUGUGUUCAGUUUCUUUUCUUUUCUUUUUUGCAGGAGAUAUUUAAGCUAUUUGUUCAUUGUAUUUGAAAUUUGUAGGAAGAACUGGGGAGAAUACAAAUGUAGCCAAUGAUUCUAAAUUUAAUAAUAAGGAUAAAUCAAUUGAUAGUGCCGCAAUAGAUGUACAGCAUACAACAUCAACUACAGGAGCCCAAGCGGUAUGUCUGGUUAUACUUAUGAAAAUGCUUGGUUAUCUUAUUUUCAUCUAAAUUCGUGAAGAUUGUUGCUUUUGCUUGGGCCUUUAAUAGUAGCACAGCAAAUUAGUUGCAGGAAAAGGGUUAUCUGUAGAAAUAAAGCUAUUUACUGCAGAAUUUUUAUUUCUCAAGUCCCGGUAACGUAUUUCAAUUGGUCUUUAGGUCUUGAAAUUUUCUCAGGUAAUGGAACAAACUGCGAUACCUCGAUUUCUGCAGUUGUUGCAGCAAAAUAUAUGUUGUUUUCUUAUUUUUGUUAAUACUCCCUUCGUUCCAAAAUAAGGGUUCUGGUUUUAGUUCAGAGUAGGUGUCAUGGGCUGAUGAAGAAAGUGUUCUUGCCACGAAAUGAACUAAAAUUUAAAGAUUUAGAUUCUUAUUGGUUUUAUCUAGAAGUGCCUGUUUGGUGUUGGCAUCUGUCUAUUUCUUACAUAGUGUUUACCAAAUAGGUUAAAAAUGCAAUAUAAUUGCAAUUAUAAUACCUUUUGUGUCUUUGUCUGUUAAAUGUACAUUGACUCGAUAGGAUCAAAAGUUGAUGUGUCCCUUUGUCUACGUUGAUACCAGACUGAGUUAACUUUGUUGCUGUUCGGUUGUAAUACAAGAUACAUUUACAUCUUUAAGACAUUUAUUAGACUUCAUAUAUUCAAGAUCAUUGAUUUGAUGCCAUAUCAUCGUUUCUUCAAGGCCAUUAAUUAAUUAACGGAAUUCACAAAUAUCAUUGUCAUAAAAAUAGCUUGAUGAUUUAUUCCCACAUAUUUGCAGAAUCUUGCACCGUCCCUGCCCUUGAGGAACAAAAGGAAGUUGCAUUGGGGGUACUAUUUCAUCACUGUACUGUAUCAUACUACGUGGCAGCUUAUGUUUUCCACUAUCUCAUGCAGUCUCAUCUCUCAUGCUACUCUCUACUUAGUUGCUAUUCAGGCAGUUCAUGUUCAUCUUUUCAUCGGAAAACUUCAUUAACACUGAAUUCCCUUAAAUUUCACCUUUCAUCAUUCAAGAAGUUCAUAUACAUUGUACGACUGAAUCUGACAAAGAAGACACCAUUUGACUUGCUAUGAACAAAGUAUAAUGAUUCAAACUGCAAAUUACUAAUAGACUAUCUAUAGGUUAUUAUGAGAUUUCUUAUGGUCAACUUAAUCUGAUGGACAUGAGAUAAACUCUUGUGAGAAAACUAAGGAAAUCUGAUUCGUAGGACGAGUUUUUCUCUUUCUUUUACCAUGGUUCUAAUGGAGCUGUGGUAAGCCAGCAAGGUGUGACAUUUCUUAUGGCCACCUCUCGCAAAUGCUAACGUGCCAGCUUGCCACCACCUUUUGUGUGAAAUGAAACGAUUGGCUCUCACUCUUAUCACCCAUAUGUCAUAUUUUCAGGCUUGAUGUUAAAGAACGAUGGGAGAGGAAAGCGAACAUGUGAAUUUCUGAAGAUCGUUUAAAUUCUCGGAGCAAAGCAAACCCUCCAUGUAAAUGGGAAAAAAAUCUUUAUGCCUUCUUGAUGACCUAGUUGAAUGUAUUCAUCUUUCUGUUAGCAGGCAGAAUAGCUGGGCGAAAGCCACAAGAUCUAGGCCACAAAUUUCCUGGUUUGCAGUUUUCUAUCUGAUGCCUUGUGCAGGUUAUGUAGCUAGAUAUUCCUAUUUUAAGUACCUGUCCAGAUCUCUUGUUGGGUACUUCAGGCCCACGCCGCGCAGGUUAUAGAACAUCCUGCUUAGCGAGACAGGGAAGGUAUUGAAAAUCCUGUUUCAAAUGUUGUGUACGAUUAUGACAUGCUGCUGUUGCUGCUUUUACAGCAAAUUAUAAGUUUGUCCCGGUUUAUUUUACCUCCCUGAGCCCUUGUGGGCCACUUGCAUGAUGGCUUAG